RNAcentral lists this long non-coding RNA (58525 nucleotides) under Triticum aestivum (bread wheat). Its description in RNAcentral is "long non-coding RNA (TAES_LNC023710)". Lineage: Eukaryota; Viridiplantae; Streptophyta; Magnoliopsida; Poales; Poaceae. The record is from RNAcentral.
AUGACCAAAGUGGACACUGGUGGGUGUACUAUGGCUUCAACGGCGUCCCAACGGCUGUGGGCUACUACCCAAAGUCAUUGUUCACAAACAUGGCAAAAAAGGCAAACCAGUUCUCGUUUGGUGGCUUCGUGUUCGCAGAAAGGGCACUUCCAACUCCUCCAUUGGGCAGUGGCGUCCUUCCUGGUGGCAAGGGACGUGCGGCAUCGUUUACUGACUUGCGCCUCAUUGAACGGGAUGGAAGGAGCAGCCCCAUCAUGAAGGACUUGCCUACUGUUAUAUCCAACAAUAAAUGUUAUUCUAUCACUCCUAUUGUUAAUUCCGGGUGCUUCUAUGGCGGGCCAAGAGGUUGUGUGUAAUACUAAGCUGUACUUUGAACGUGGUGGUGUAAUAAUGUUUCCCUUGAGUUUGUCUUCCCAAACUCAUACUGGCCUAAUAAGACACUAUGUGUUACCGUAUUAUGCACAUUAGCGAUGAAUUUACUCCUUCUGUAAAUUUUGAGUAUACACCGAGAGACAAGUUUAUCAUGGAAACCACAAAUGCAUUAGAAAUUGACAAAACUCCGAAGGCUAACUAUCAUGCAUACUAGGAAGGGAGAAGUAUAUUUUUCGUCCCUCAUUUCUCUCGAAAGUACAGAAAUAGUCCCUCGACUUCAAAACCAGCAAAACUUAGUCCCUCAAUUUUUCAAACUGGAUAACUUUAGUCCUUUGUACCAUUUUGGGUGGUUUUCGUGUGACGUGGAGAUGGUUUUGAAGAAAUAUUGACAGAUCAACUUACAGGUGAUUGGGUCCCAUUUGCCAGUAGGGAGAAAGAAAUACCAAAAUGAAAAUAAGACUGGCGAGGGGAGAAGAAGGUUUCAAUCACCUGGUAGAGCUCAGAUUUUUCGGUACCCACAAGAGUUAACCAACAAAGCAAACACCACUUUGUGCCUAAGCUGGAGCUCUUCCUGAGGCGGAACUGUAGCCACGUAUCCUCACCAUGGGCGUGUUUGGUUGCAGUUUGCAACAGUAGUUGCAUUGCAUGUCCAUCUUCAGCCAGCCUGGUUCUUGAAAUGCAGCCUUAUAUGCAGCAGAUGCAAUGAUAAUCCCCAAGUGCAGGGAAUCAUCGUAGCAAUUUCCAAAGGUGGAAGUGAUAAGUAUGGAGUGUCGAACCCACAAGGAGCUAAAGGUAAGAUCAAUAUUCUCUCAAGCCCUAUCUGCCACUGAUACGACUCUACGUACACCGAACGUUUGCUUCCAACUAGCAACGAGAAAUAAAACUACAUUGUGGGUAUGAAGAGGAUAACUUUGCAUGAUAUCAGAGAGCUAAAAUAUGAAAAUAGGUGUUGUUAUCAUAAGGUUAGAAUAUAUAUAAUAAAUAUUAUAAAUAGCGAGUGUGGAAUAAUGGUGGAUCAGUGUGCGGAAUUGUCCUAGGCAACCGUUGACAAGACCGGUGAUCACUAUUGCAGUUUAAUAUGAGGGAGAGGCAUAAGCUAACAUACUUUCUCUACUUGGAUCAUAUGCACUUAUGAUUGGAACUCUAGCAAGCAUCCGCAACUACUAAUGAUCAUUAAGGUAAAACCCAACCAUAGCAUUAAAGCAUCAAGUCCUCUUUAUUCCCAUACGCAACACCCCCCUUACUCGGGUUUGUGUUUCAGCACCAACCCACUAUAAGCGAAUCAUGAACGUAUUGCAACACCCUACAGCGGGAACCCCUCACGCUUGCGCGAAACGGAGGGCACCAUAGGACAGCAUCAAAGUAAAACAUACAACUCAUACCAAUCUAGAUCAUCAAUCAACCCAAAGACAAAACAUAUCUACUCAAAACAUCAUAGGAUGGCAACACAUCAUUGGAUCAUAAUAUGUGGCAUAAAGCACCAUGUUCAAGUAGGGAUUACAGCGGGGUGCGGGAGAGUGGACCGCGUAAAAGAGAUGAGGAUGGUGAUGAUGAUGGUGAUGUUGAUGAAGACGAUCACCGCGGCGAUGAUUCCCCUCUCGAUGGCACUCCGGUGCCACCAAGAGAGAGGAGGAGAGGUUCUCCCCCUUGUGCUUCCUCCUCCAUGGCCUCCCCCCUGGAUGGGGAAAGGUUCUCCCUCUGGUCCUUGGCCUUCAUGGCGAUGAUGGCCUCUCCGGGAUACUCCUCCAUGGCCUCCGGUGAUGAUGGCCCCCUCCGGCAGGGUGCCGGAGAGGGCCUGGAUUGAUUUCUCGUGGCUACAGAGGCUUGCGGCGGCGGAACUCCCGAUCUAGGUUAAUUUUCCGAGGUUUCUGUAUUUAUAGGAAUUUUUGGCGUCGGUCUCACGUCAAGGAGGUGCCUGAGCUGUCCACGAGGCAGGCCCACGCGCCCGGGGGGGGUGGGCGCACCCCCCACCCUCGUGGGAAGCCCCGGACUCUUCUGGCCCAACUUUGAUGCUCCGUGGUCUUCUUUUGGUCCAUAAAAAAUCAUCAAAAAUUGGCACGUCAAUUGGACUCCGUUUGGUAUUCCUUUUCUGCAAAAUUCAAAAACAAGGAGAAAACAGAAACUGGCACUGGGCUCUAGGUUAAUAGGUUAGUCCGAAAAAUCAUAUAAAAUAGCAUAUAAAUGCAUAUAAAACAUCUAAGAUGGAUAAUAUAAUAGCAUGAAUACUUCAUAAAUUAUAGAUACGUUGGAGACGUAUCAGCAUCCCCAAGCUUAAUUCCUGCUCGUCCUCGAGUAGGUAAAUGAUGAAAGAAAUAAUGUAUGAAGUGUGAAUGCUAGCAAGUGCUUAAGUUUGAUCAAUGAUAAUUCCAAUCAGUUUUUCUAGCAUCAUUAUAUGUCAUAACAGUAGCUCAUCUCAUAAAACUUUUCAUGAUCAAGUAACAAGCUAUUCACAUGUUAAAGUAUAGAUCAUAAACUUUCUUGAAAACUAACAAACCGUGUUAUCAGUCAUCAAACAAUUACAGUUCAUCUUAUUUUCAGGAAGAGUCUAUGUCAGAGCUUUGAUUGAGCAAACUCCAUAUACUCAACUAUCAUUUAGUCUUUCACAAUUGCUAACACUCACGCGAUAUUUAUGGGUUCAAAGUUUUAAUCAGACACAGAGAAAAAUAGGCGCUUAUAGAUUCGCCUCCCAACCUUUUACUUCAAGGGUAAUGUCAACAAUAAUAGUUCAUGAUGCCUUGCAUCCAAUUGGAUAUAUAUAUCAGAAUCUUUCCAACACAAUGUGCUUGCCAAAGGAUAAAAUGUAAAAAGGAAAGGUGAAAAUCACCAUGACUCUUGCAUAAGGUAGAAGAUAAAAGUAAAAGAUAGGCACUUCGCAGAGGGAAGCAGAGGUUGUUAUGCGCUUUUAUGGUUGGAUGCACAAAAUCUUAAUGCAAAAGAACGUCACUUUAUAUUGCCACUUGUGAUAUGGACCUUUAUUAUGCAGUCCGUCGCUUUUAUUUCUUCCACAUCACAAGAUCGUAUAAAGCUUAUUUCCUCCACACUAAUCAAUCAUACAUAUUUAGAGAGCAAUUUUUAUUGCUUGCACCGAUGACAACUUACUUGAAGGAUCUUACUCAAUCCAUAGGUAGGUAUGGUGGACUCUCAUGGCAAAACCGGGUUUAAGGGUAUUUGGAAGCACAAGUAGUAUCUCUACUUAGUGCAAAGAAUUUGGCUAGCAUGAGGGGGGAAGGCAAGCUCAACGUGUUGGGCGAUCCAUAACAAUAUACUUUAUUUCAGAUAUAAGAAAACAUAACCCAUUACGUCGUCUUCCUUGUCCAACAUCAACCUUUUAGCAUGUCAUAUUUUAAUGAGUGCUCACAAUUACAAAAGAUGUCCAAGAUAGUAUAUUUAUAUGUGAAAUCCCUCUUCCUUCGAUAUUCUUUCAUGAAUUGUUCAAGUGACCAAUUCUACGUUUGCUAACUUUCAAUAAGUUUACUACCUAUACUUAUUAUGUGUGAAGUCAUUACUCCCCAUGUUAUAAGAAUAUGAAACAUAUAUAAAUUUAGGUUUAUGACAUUCAAUUUAUUCAACCAUUUACUCAUAGGAUAUACGUGAAGCACAUGAGUAAAUGACAAACUACUCCAAAAGAUAUGAGUGAAGAACACUGAGUAGUCAAAUAAUUAACUAGCCAUGGGAGGAUUCUUUUUCAUUCAAUAUUUCAGAUCCAAUGAUUUUAUUCAAACAGCAAGUAAAAUUGAAAAUACGCUCCAAGCAAAACACAUAUCAUGUGACGAAUAAAAAUAUAGCUCCGAGUAAGGUAUAUCGAUAGUUUUGAAGACGAAAGAGGGGAUGCCUUCCGGGGCAUCCUCAAGCUUAGGUACUUGAGUCUUCCUUGAAUAUUACCUUGGGUUACCUUGGGCAUCCCCAAGCUUAGGGUCUUUCCACUCCUUAUUCUCCUCAUAUCGAUAUCUCACCCAAAGCUUGAAAACUUCAAUCACACAAAACUUAACAAAACUUCGAGAGAUAGGUUAGUAUGAUAAAGAGUAAACCAUCCACUUUGGUACUGUCUAAGACAAGGUUCAUAAUUGUUCCCACACAAUGUCUACUGUACCAUAUCAUUUCUACAAUUUAUAUUGAGAAAUAUAAGUCAUAGAAAUUAGAAAACAAACAAACUAUGCAAUGAAAACAGAAUCUGUCAGAAACAGAACAGUCUGUAAUGAUCUGAACAUAAAUCAUACUUCUGCUACUCCAAAAAUUAUGAAAUAAAUUGGUGGACGUGAGGAAUUUGUCUAUUAAUCUUCUUCAAAAAGAAUCAACUCAAAAUCACUCUUCUGUAAAAAAUGACAGCUAAUCUCGUGAGGGAAAAGUUUCUGUUUUUUAAAGCAAGAUCACAUUAACUUUCACCCAAGUCCUCCCAAAGGUCUUACUUGGCACUUUAUUGAAACAAAAGCUAUAAAACAUGAUUACUACAGUAGAUUAAUCAUGUAGACACACAAAAAUAGUAAGGGUAAAUAUUGGGUUGUCUCCCAACAAGCGCUUUUCUUUAAUGCCUUUUAGCUAGGCAUGAUGAUUUCAAUGAUGCUCACAUAAAAGAUAAGAAUUGAAACAUAAAGAGAGCAUCAUGAAGAAUAUGACUAGUACAAUUGGUUCUAACCAACUUCCUAUGCCUAGGGAUUUUGUGAGCACACAACUUAUGGGAACAAGAAUCAACUAGCAUAGGAAGGCAAAACAAGUAUAACUUCAAAUCUUUAAGCACAUAGAGAGGAAACUUGAUAUUAUUGCAACUCCUACAAGCAUGUAUUCCUCCCUCAUAAUAAUUUUCAGUAGCAUCAUGGAUAACAAAUUUGUUCUCAUACUCAAUUGGAACCUCUUCCGAAAUAGUGGAAUCAUUACUAGCUAAAGUUGACACUCUUCCAGAUCCACUUUCAUAAAUAUCACAUUAAGAUUCAAUACCCUCCAAAAUAGUGGGAUCACUAAUUCCUAAAGUUGACACUCUUCCAAACCCACUUUAAAUGAUAGUUUUAUUCAUACUCCAAAAGAUAUAAGUGAAGUUCAUGGAGCAUUCUACAAUUAAUAUAGACUAACCAAUAUCCAAGCUCAAAAUGUAUAAGUGAAGCACAUGAAGCAUUCUACAAAACCAUACUCAAAAGAUUUAAGUGAAGCACAAAGAGCAAUUCUAUAAGAUCAUAUUUAAAAGAUUUAAGUGAAGCACAUGAAGUAUUCUAUAAAUCAAUGAAGCGCUAUCUCAUGCUAGCAUGGUUCUUAAAGGAAAAACAAAAACACAAAGGACACAAAUCAUGUGAACAAAACAAAAACCGAUGUAUACCGAUAAUUGUUGAAGAAGGAAGAUGGGAUGCCAACCGGGGCAUCCCCAAGCUUAGAUGCUUGAGUAUCCUUUGAAAUAUUUACUUGGGGUGCCUUGGGCAUCCCCAAGCUUGAACUCUUGCCUCUCUUUAUUCUUCUCAUAUUGAUAGCUCCUCGAUCUUCGAACACUUCAUCCACACAAAACUUUAACAAGAACUUUGUGAGAUCCGUUAGUGCAAUAAAGCAAACUACCACUUUAAGGUACUGUAAUGAACUCAUUCUUUAUUUAAAUUGGUGUUAAACAUACUGUAUUCCAACUUCUCUAUGGUUCAUACCCCCCGAUACUAGCCAUAGAUUCAUCAAAAUAAGCAAACAACACGCGAAAAAACAGAAUCUGUUAAAAAUAGCACAGUCUGUAGUAAUCUGGAAGUUUAGUAAACUUCUGUAACUCCUAAAAUUAUGAAAUAAAUAUGAAAAUUUUAACAAUCUGUACAGAAGUAAUGUGCAAGGAGUUUCAGACCCAUUUGACCUUCCAGUAAAAAAUGUAAAAUCACGAUCUACAGCCAAAGUUUCUGUUUUUGUUCUGCACAUAGUAAACAAGCAAUCUAAUCAUCCUAGAACCAAAACUUGGCACAUUAUUUUUAUAAUACAAUGGAUAUAUACAAGGGGAUAAUUAUUUACAGAGAAACUUCCAUGAAAAAUUCUGCAUUGUUUCCGUGAACAUGAACACAAGUGCUCAAGGUCGACCCUCACUUCUUCAAUGCAUAACUUUCCAAUCACUUUUCUUUUUGAAAAACUUUUUAGGCAUGAAAGGUAAGUAAAUUUUUUUGUAUUUUCAUUCUUUUAAUUUUUUUGUAUGUUUCACCCACAACUAAACAGAAACAAAAACGAAAAACAAAAUCUACUUAGUGAAGAAAGCAAACAAGCACACACGAGAAUAUCAACCCCACGCUAUUGCUCCCCGGCAACGGCCCAGAAAAGAGCUUGAUAAUCCCCAAGUGCAGGUAAUCAUCGUAGUAAUUUCCAAAGGUGGAAGUGAUAAGUAUGGAGUGUCGAACCCACAAGGAGCUAAAGGUAAGAUCAAUAUUCUCUCAAGCCCUAUCUGCCACUGAUACGACUCUACGUACACCGAACGUUUGCUUCCAACUAGCAACGAGAAAUAAAACUACGUUGUGCGUAUGAAGAGGAUAACUUUGCAUGAUAUCAGAGAGAUAAAAUAUGAAAAUAGGUGCUGUUAUCAUAAUGUUAGAAUAUAUAUAAUAAAUAUUAUAAAUAGCGAGUGUGGAAUAAUGGUGGAUCGGUGUGCGGAAUUGUCCUAGGCAACCGUUGACAAGACCGGUGAUCACUAUUGCAGUUUCAUAUGAGGGAAAGGCAUAAGCUAACAUACUUUCUCUACUUGGAUCAUAUGCACUUAUGAUUGGAACUCUAGCAAGCAUCCACAACUACUAAUGAUCAUUAAGGUAAAACCCUACCAUAGCAUUAAAGCAUCAAGUCCUCUUUAUUGCCAUACGCAACAACCCUCUUACUCGGGUUUGUGUUUCAGUCACUCACCAACCCACUAUAAGCGAAUCAUGAACGUAUUGCAACACCCUACAGCGGGAACCCCUCACGCUUGCGCGACACGGAGGGCACCAUAGGACAGCAUCAAAGUAAAACAUACAACUCAUACCAAUCUAGAUCAUCAAUCAACCCAAAGACAAAAGAUAUCUACUCAAAACAUCAUAGGAUGGCAACACAUCAUUGGAUCAUAAUAUGUGGCAUAAAGCACCAUGUUCAAGUAGGGAUUACAGCGGGGUGCGGGAGAGUUGACCGCGUAAAAGAGAUGAGGAUGGUGAUGAUGAUGGUGAUGUUGAUGAAGACGAUCACCGCGGCGAUGAUUCCCCUCUCGAUGGCACUCCGGUGCCACCAAGAGAGAGGAGGAGAGGUUUCCCCCUUGUGCUUCCUCCUCCAUGGCCUCCCCCCUGGAUGGGGAAAGGUUCUCCCUCUGGUCCUUGGCCUUCAUGGCGAUGAUGGCCUCUUCGGGAUACUCCUCCAUGGCCUCCGGUGAUGAUGGCCCCCUCCGGCAGGGUGCCGAAGAGGGCCUAGACUGAUUUCUCGUGGCUACAGAGGCUUGCGGCGGCGGAACUCCCGAUCUAGGUUAAUUUUCCGAGGUUUCUGUAUUUAUAGGAAUUUUUGGCGUCGGUCUCACGUCAAGGAGGUGCUGAGCUAUCCACGAGGCAGGCCCACGCGCCCAGGGGGGUGGGCGCGCCCCCACCCUCGUGGGCAGCCCGGGACUCUUCUGGCCCAACUCCGAUGCUCCGUGGUCUUCUUUUGGUCCAUAAAAAAUCAUAAAAAAUUGGCACGUCAAUUGGACUCCGUUUGGUAUUCCUUUUCUACAAAAUUCAAAAACAAGGAGAAAACAGAAAUUGGCACUGGGCUCUAGGUUAAUAGGUUAGUCCCAAAAAUCAUAUAAAAUAGCAUAUAAAUGCAUAUAAAACAUCUAAGAUGGAUAAUAUAAUAGCAUGGAUACUUCAUAAAUUAUAGAUACGUUGGAGAUGUAUCAUGCAACCUGUUUGGUUGCCUGCAUCGCAUGGAGGGGCACUUACCCCCCUGUUGUUUGGUUGCCCUUUUUGUGCUUAGGAUGUGAGCAUAUGCAAACUUCAGCUGUUUGGUUGCAAACAACGUUUGUGUUCUGCUCACCCCAUUCAAAUGUGGUGGCCUUACCACCACAUGAUCAGCACAACAGCAAGAUCAAACAAAGCAAGCACCCAAAUGAAAUCAAACACAGCAAGCAAGGAAAUGACAGCAAACUACUUAACUACAUAGCAUAAGUCUAGAUUAACAGCAGGAGCAUCCUCCUUCCCUGCUCCAAGCCAGGGUGCUGCUCCUGGCCAAAAUAUGAACAAGUUCCCAGCACAAGUCUCGCCACACACCAUAAAAGUUCAACACUAACACCUUACUUAACUUAACUACAUAGCAUGCUCAAUGUUACCAACGCAAUUGUGCCUGCUGCAACGAAACCUGCACAUGACCGAGGAGUCGUGGUUGUAGAUCUGAAUCUUCAGUUUGAGUCCUGAGAUGCGCACAAUGACGAGGUCGCCGGGGACGAUCUGGUGGCUGCGGCAGAAGUAGUUCCAGCCCCGGCCAAGCACCAUGUGCCCCUCGAAGUUCUGGACCUACACCCAGAACACGCACCGCUUGUUCGCCGACAGCCUGACCACGCGCGGGAGCCGCUUGAUGACCAGCCAGGUGUUCAUCACCUCCACGAACUUGCGAGGGACGACGAGCAUGGAGAGGUCCUCGUUGUCCUUGAUCUGCUGGUAGAAGCGCAGCGGCUCCCUGGCCCCCUCCUCGUGGCCCUGCCUCGGAGAUCGUCCCCUUGAACGAGGCAUGCUCAUGAAGGCGAUCCUGCCAGGCAGGUCCACCGUCCUGAGCCACCUGUUCAUGGGGAUGAAUUCCUCGGCGCCCUCAGCUCCGGCCACCACCUGAGCUCCUCCUCCCGCCACAUCCCAAUCAGUCUUCAAUAUCUUGUCAGGUAAGAUGACAAGUAUUAGUGCACAAACUCUUUGCAAAAUGGCACUGAUCAGAGACAUUUGCCCAAGAGCAAAUGCCACUGAUCAGUGCACAAAUUCUUUGAGCAAAUGCCACUUAUCAAUGGCACUUGCUGUUAGGCAAAUGCCACUAAUCAGUGGCACUAAUCAGUGGACUUGCCCAAUAGCAAGUUCCAUUGAUAAGUGGCAUUUUGCCCAAUAGCAAGUGCGAUUGAUAAGUGGCAUUUGCCUAUGGGCAAAUGCCACUUAUCAAUGAAACUUGUUGUUGGGUAAAUGCCACUAAUCAGUGGCACUGAUCGGACUUGCUGUUGGGCAAGUCCACUGAUCAGUGGCAUCUGCUUUGCUGCAACUACCACUCAGCAGUGCACUAUCCUAAACAUGGAAACAUCUAAAAAUAGCAAUAGCAAGUGCCAAUACCACCCAUGUGCAGCCAUGCACAUUUGGUAGCAUCCUAAAAUGGUCCUACUACAUGCACGUAUAACAUUCAACACAAACCCUAGCUUGAACAUGUAUGUUAGCAACAUGAACAACAACAUGAACAUGAUCCUAGCUUGAACAUGAACAUGCCAUUUGCAUGAACACACAUCCUAGCAAGACCCUACCAUGAGCACACAUCCUAGCAAAGAACACUACCAUUGGGGAUUCUAGCAUGAACACAGCUACUAGCAUGAACACAGAUCCAGUAGCACAAGAAAAUUAUCCUAGGACACACACUGUACAAAACAAGAACAGAUCAGUCCGAUUGGAUUCGAUUGGGAUCGCAUCCAAUCGGAUCUGCUAGAAUCCUAUCUAAUCCUAUCGAAUCCACUAACUAAUAGAACAUGCCUAAGAAAUAAACCCCUAAUCUACAUCUACGAGGAAGCAUUGAGGGGGUUUGAAUCACUGGAGCACGCGCAGCCGCAGCGAACUGAGGCCGGGGUGAAAAACCCGGCGGGAAGGAGAGAGGUGGCGGAGCAGAGGAGGAGCCGGCCCUGGCGACAGCCUGCGGCAUCGGCCCCAUGCUCAUCGCCACGCCGGAGGUCGAGGAGGACGGCCCGCCGACAGGAGAAAACCCUUGGACGGGGGUCAAGAUAACCCCCCUACCCAAUGGGGUCCCAAUAAUCGGCAGCUCCGUCAACGGCGCCGGCGCCGAGCCCAGGACCACGAGGUCUGGAAUCUGCGGCGGAGCAGGAAGGGCUGGAACGGCCGGCACCGCAUUGGCCGGUGCUCGUGGUGGACCGCAGCAGAUGGGGGACGGCGCUCGCAGCGCCGACACCAGGUCCCUACCCAAGUUCUGCAGCCCGACCACCCAGUGCUCCUGGAUGCUGGCGAUGCGCUGGUCGAAGGGGGUCAGAGGGCAGCGCGGCGGUGGGCGAGGCGGAGCCAUCGGAGGAGAGGAGAGGGAGGGACGGAGAGGGAGGGACGGUGAGGGAGAGAGGGAGCGGUGGGAACAGUGCAACUGGGCGGUGACAUGAGAGUGGGGGCGAGUUAUGAGACGUCCCUUCCGUCUCCCGUGCUGCCUGAGGCAUGCAACUGCCUCGCACGCAUGGCUGCGCCCAGCCAGGCUCGCGAGAAACUGCCGAUUCGGCAGUUUCCGCCGGGCCAGGCUGCGGGCUGCUUUAAGGUCCAUGCGGGCCUCAAACCGCAUGCACCCAAGGCAACCAAACAGGCCGCGCACAUCCCGCGCGGGCCUGGUUGGGCUGCAUGCGAGCAACCAAACACGCCCCAUGUGACUGCACCAGUACAGCCGCGCACCAUCACCACCAUCCCCACCGUUACCUCAAGGAUGUACUGGAAGGACGCGGCUCAGCUGCUGCAACCGGAAGCUGAGGUCGUCUCACACUUCGCCAUGUCAUGGCGGCCCAGAACAAGGAUAUGGACACAUGGGGCGUGUUUGGUUGCAGUAGUGAACAGUAAUUGCAUUGCAUACACAUCUCAACCCAACCUGGUUGAGCAAAAAUAGUCCCAAAUGCGUCAUCUACAAAUUGUUUGGUUGCCUGCAUCUAGGGUCCUAGCAUUAGGUAAUACGCAAGUGCACUUUGUUUGGUUGCUUGCAUUGGCCCAAGCGGCAUAUGAACAUGGUGUUUGGUUGCAUGCAUGAGGUAUGAUUAAGAGCUAGCACUUGCACGUAGCACACAGGGUUAAGAGCUAGCAGAGGGAGGGGGAGAAGAAAUGCAGUGUGCGCUGGACAAUGGCGACUGCGGUGGAUAUUGGUCGUGGCGCCGUGUCCUACAUGACGAGCAUGGAGUCAUGGACGAGCGACCCCGUUGGCGGCACGGCGAGCGACACCGUCGACGAUCUAGUUGCGGUGCUCGCGCAAAGACAGUCGAUAGAGGAGGAGAAUGCAGUGCUCGCGCCAUGGUAUCGUCAGUGCACUAGACGAGAGAGGAGGCCGAGAUGAUCGACACCGGAAACGACUCCAGUGUAGUAGGGCGAGAGAGAGGAGGCCAAGAUGAUCGACCUUGUCGGCGCCGCGGCGAACUGCAAUGUGCACGGAGGCAGAGGACACAAGAAAGCAGUGUGCGCGCCAUUGCAGCGUCAGUGCAGUAGGAGGAUGACGGAGAGUAGGCCGAGAUGAGCGAUGCCGGAAACGACUCUAGUGUAGUAGGACGUGGGCAAGGAGAUCAAGGGGAAGGGCGUCGGCGUCGAGAGGGACGAAUAGGAGGGCUCUGAGCAGAGGACAGAGGAGCUCGACAUGGCGACGGUAGUGCAGUAGGCUACUGUUCAAAGAGAGAUGAAGCUACGGUCGUCGAAACCAGAAAUUUACAACACGGAUGUUGUGCGGAACUGCGAGAUUAGGCUGCUGGUCAAAGGAAAUUUCAAACGAUCAAUCAUGCGCGACAAAUCUGACAAAAUUCGUCCAGAAUAGCUUCAAACGGGAAGACGAAAUUAAGAACUUACGACCGACGAAACUACGAACCGAUCGCCUGAAUGGAACCGUAGCAUGGAGGUGCAUCUUUUUGUGUAGAGCUUACCUCGAAUCGAAGCACCGUUGUGUAGAUCGGGAGGGGCUAGGAAGAACAGAAUUAGAGAGAAGGUUACUGAAGGUAGGAGAAGAUAAGCAUGCAUAGGCUGCAUACCAGCUCGUAUCCUCCCAUCUCCCGUUGUGCAAGUGGCCCAUCACGUGCGCUCGCCUCAGCCUGACUCGCUAGAAACUGACAAUCUGAGCGUUUCCAGCGAGCUAGGCCCAAGUGUGCUUUAAGUUUCGUGCCAUGCGGGCCGCACAGUAAACGAGGCAACCAAACGGGCUCAAUCUUUCCUACGCGGGCCAGGCUGGGCCAUAUGCAAGCAACCAAACACGCUCAUGGUGUAUCUGUGGCUCGCGGGGUUCUUCUCAUCCCGGACGUGGAGGCUGAGUGGCAAUCCUGCCGUGUCCGGUGAGCACCACCGAGGCGUAUUGCGUGGCCAAAUACAGUCAGAAGUGGGUGCGCACCCGCUCGUCAUGCUGCACCCACCAGCAUGCGCAAGAACGGCGAGCUCUGCCUCGCCGUGCACCUCACCACACCCACACACCUCCGGACCAGCGGCCUGCCGGGCUCUCAAUUUUGCGAACGUUACCGCGCCACUCGAGCAUCACCGACGAGGACGAAGAAGGUGAACACAAGCGCCUCCGCAACAUCUACGAUGGCGUCCAUCGUCAACGUGUCGAAAGGCCGAGCUCCAGGACCCAGCGGCCAUCGUCGACGACCAGCCUAGGCAUGUAGGUUCGGCCGGUGGUGCCGGUGUUGAACUAUAUUGUCCACCUCCCUCCAUCAGUUCGGACUUUUGGAUGAGUUGGCUAGUGCAUGAACUCAAUAUGGUAUCCGAGCUAAGAGGUCUUGAGUUCAAGACCCUGCCAACGCAGUAUUAAAUAAAACGAUUAUGCGGCCUACAUCGAUCCCACGUCUAAGGACUAAAUUAGUCUAGACAUGAGGGGGUGUUGAAUAUAUUACCCACCUCCCUCCAUCAGUUCGGACUUUUGGACGAGUUGGCUGGAGCAUGAAUUCAAUAGCCGGCGGCGUGCUCCUAGCUGGUGCCUAGUCGGAUGAUGAAGUGGUUCUGGUGGCGGUAAUGCCAGAAGUCGUUUCGAUAUACGAUUUUAUCCAGUUCCUAUUUUAUUUAUUAUCCCUGAUCCGGAAGUCACCUUUUCUUUUCCUUGGACAGUACCUCCUAACAAGAUUGAUCUGUUUGGAUCUUGGUCCAUGAUGGCCUUUUUAUUGAUUUUGACGAUUGGAUCUCUCUAUGAAUGGAAAAGGGGUGCUUCGGAUCGGGAGUAACCACUUUUGAAAGGGUGAAGGGGGAGUAAAGUCUAAGCGACAUAUGGCACGAAAAGGAAAUCCGAUUUCGCACGCAUGCCACUUGCUCGAACAAAUGCCCACUAGAGAGAGUUGAGAGGAAGAGUAGAUAGGAUGAGUAGGAGAGAGAAAAAUUUCCACGUCAGCGAAGACUGGUCAAAACCAUGUUGAGUCAGCAGCAAUACUGGGUUUGCUGAGACAAGGGACUAAACUUAUCCGGGUUGAAGAGUUGAGGGACUAAGGUUUGUUGGUUUUGAAGUUGAGGUGCCAAAUUUAGAGUUUCGAAAAAGUUAAGGGAUGAAAAACAUACUUCUCUCUACUAGAAAUUAUCACAUUGAACAAAUUGGGCGCAAAUUGCUCGUGCUACUGAUUUGACGUGAAGAAAACGCAACGAUGAUUGGGAAGCCACAUGUCAAGGAUGUAUACAGUAUCAUGUGGUUGUUAUCGAGAGAGAGGACCAAGGGUUGUAAUGUUUAUGUCACGCUUAUUCUCAAUCGUUGUUUAGCCUCUUAUCUUUACGAUCAUGUUGAGGCGUUAUCCUGCCCUCUGACCAUCAGAUACUUGAAAGGUGCUUUAAUAUGUCUCCAACGUAUCUAUAAUUUUUUAUUGUUCCAUACUAUUAUAUUAUCUGUUUUGGAUGUUUUAUAUGCAUUAAUAUGCUAUUUUAUAUUAUUUUUUUGACUAACAUAUUAACCUAGAGCCCAGUGCUGGUUUCUAUUUUUUCCUUGUUUUUGAGUUUCACAGAAAAGGAAUACCAAACGGAGUCCAAACGGAAUGAAACCUUCACGAUGAUUUUUCUUGGACCAGAAGACAGCCAGGAGACAUGGAGAUGAAGUCGGAGGAGCCACGAGGCGGCCACAAGGACGGAGGGCGCGCCCAGGGGGGUAGGGCGGACCCCCCACCCUUGUAGGCCCCCCGUGACCCUCCUGACCUAAUUAUUUCACCUAUAUAUUCCCAAAUAUCUCCAAACCACCAAAGGCAUCCACGAAAACACUUUUCCACCGCCACAAACUUCUGUACCCGUGAGAUCCCAUCUAGGGACCUUUUCCGGCACCCUGUCGGAGGGGGAUCCGAUCACGCAGGGCUUCUACAUCAACUCUUUUGCCCUUCUGAUGAAGUGUGAGUAGUUUACCACAGACCUACGGGUCCAUAGCUAGUAGCUAGAUGGCUUCUUCUCUCUCUUUGAUUCUCAAUACCAUGUUCUCCUCGAUGUUCUUGGAGAUCUAUUCGAUGUAAUACUAUUUUGCGGUGUGUUUGCCGAGAUCCGAUGAAUUGUGGAUUUAUGAUCAGCUUAUCUAUGAAUAUUAUCUGAAUCUUCUCUGAAUUAUUUUAUGCAUGAUUUGAUAUCUUUGUAAUUCUCUUCGAACUAUCGGUUUGGUUGGCCAACUAGAUUGGUUUUUCUUGCAAUGGGAGAAGUGCUUAGAUUUGGGUUCAAUCUUGCGGUGUCCUUUCCAAGUGACAGUAGGGGCAGCAAGGCACAUAUUGUAUUGUUACCAUCGAGGAUAAAAAGAUGGGGUUUUCAUCAUAUUGCUUGAGUUAAUUCCUCUACAUGUCAUCUUACUUAAUGCGUUACCCUGUUCUUCAUGAACUUAAUACUCUAGAUGCAGGCAGGAGUCGGUCGAUGUGUAGUGUAAUAGUAGUAGAUGCAGAAUCAAUUCGGUCUACUUGACACGGACGUGAUGCCUAUAUUCAUGAUCAUUGCCUUAGAUAUCAUCAUAACUUUGUGCUUUUCUAUCAAUUGCUCGACAGUAAUUUGUUCAUCCGCCGUAUUAUUUGCUAUCUUGAGAGAAGCCUCUAGUGAAACCUAUGGCCCCGGGGUCUAUUUUCCAUCAUAUAAGUUUCCGAUCUACAAUAUUAGUUUCCGAUCUACUAUUUUUGCAAUCUCUUACUUUCCGAUCUAUAAACCAAAAAUACCAAAAAUAUUUACUUUACCGUUUAUCUAUCUCAAUCAGAUCUCACUUUUGCAAGUAACCGUGAAGGGAUUGACAACCCCUUUAUCGCGUUGGGUGCAAGUUGUCUGGUUUUUUGUCAAAGUAUUAGGUGAUUUCUGCGUUGUCUCCUACUGGAUUGAUACCUUGGUUCUCAAACUGAGGAAAAUACUUAUCUCUACGUUGCUGCAUCACUCUUUCCUCUUCAAGGGAAAAAUCAAUGCAAGCUCAAGAAGUAGCAUGCUUAUACGCCAGGAGGACGAAGCUAGCAGGUGGUAAACCAUGACGUGACUUGUGUGCCGAUUGACGAAGAACCCCAUGAGUCCACCAGUAAGCGUGUAUAAUGUUGGGAAACAUAGUAGAAAACAAAAAAAUCGUCCUACGAUCACCCAGGAACACUAUGAAGAUGUGAUAAACGGUUUGGAUCAGAUCGUUACAGACUCCGAGUUGUAGCGGAAGAAGAUGAGUCGGUGAAGAUCGUACUUGAAGUCCCUAGAACCAUAGAUGAACGAUCCCACGAACCGCCAACAAAUAGUCCCUCGAACGGAAGAUCGAAUGCAUGGCCUCUGUACGAGUUGCAAGCGCACAGUCUUAACAAUCCGGCAAUGCUUCGUCGUCCAGAGCUAAUCAUUGCCGAAGAAUUAGCCGGAGGAGAUUAGAACCACACUGGGCUUUCAAUUAUGAGGAUUAGAGGAUCUAGGCCUAGCUCUUAUUGAUCAACUAGGACCAACUAGAACUAGAGAAUUAGAGGAGGCUUCAAAACUUGUGUGUUCAAAAGUGCCCAAAACCUUUUGUAUAUAUAGGUUGGAGAGGAGAGAGGGGGGCGCCACACAAAGGGGGGAAAGUCUCUCUCCCUUGGCCGGCCAAGAGGAGGGGGAUUUCCCCUCUAAUUCGGCCUCCCCUUCUUUCCACAAGUGGGGGAAAGGGUGCCACCUCUAUUUGAGCCCAAGUGGCCCAAGUAGCUCUUCACCACUUGGCCUUUUAAGGCCUGUUGAUAUUAAAUUAAAUAUAAAAGUCUCGUAACUAUUAUUAGAGCCCUUUAAUAUUAAUUUAACAUUAUCAAAAAAUAUUUCAUCUAUAUAUAAUUCAUCCAGACACUUGCGAGGCCACUCACAACCUACUUGGCUGUAGAUGCCCUGAGCAGCCGUCGGGCUAUCAUUGCCAGUAUACAGUGCAUAGAACUUACUCCCUCCGUUCCUAAAUAUAAUUUUUUUUAAAGGUUUCAAAUGAGCUACAACAUACGGAUGUAUAUAGACAUAUUUUAGAGUGUAGAUUCAUUUAUUUUGCUUCGCAUGUAGUCCCUUGUUAAAAUCUCUAAAAAAGACUUAAAUUUGAGAACGGAGGGAGUAGAUUUUUAGCAUAAAAAUCGAGAGAUAUUUGUUGCCAUGGAUCGGAAGGUGAAAGGGAUGGGUGAUGGCUACUGCCAUUACUACCACAUCCGCCACCUAUUUCUUCUUGCUUUGCUUGCACGCCUGCAACACCAAUUCCUUUAGAUUCCACAUUCGUCUUUCAACCCCUAACGACGUUCCGCUACUCCAAGAUCAAGAGGAUGGUGAAGAUUCAUGCUCCUUAAAAGCAGACAGGAAGAAGGUUCUGGCUCAUCAAGGUAAGCGCUCUCUCUCUCUCUCUCUCUCUCUCUUCAAUUCUUCAUGUUCUUUUCCCCGUCAUGGCUGAUUUCUGGGUCCUUAUUCAGGGAGCUGCUUGCAGAAGCGAGGUUGUGGUGUUCUUGGAUGCGAUGGUGCCGUGGAGGAUGGAGGCGCGGCUGGCGGCGACGGUGCGGGCGGCCCUCCUCGGCUGGCUCUUCUUCUGCCUCACCGUCGCCAGCGACGUCGCACGCCAACUCAGGAGCAGCGAUCUCUCCGUCUAAGGCCGACCGCGUUCGGCAUGGCCGACGGCGAAGAACCGACUCUGCGUCUACAGAUUGAUUUACAGGAGGGUAACCAGAUGCGAUUUUCCAAAGUAGUGCUCGUCUUUAGAAGACGGCUGUCCUUAAGAGUUAAGACUCAUUGAGCAGAUGCUCCCUGUAAAUUUUCAACUAAAGCGUGUUGUUCCUUUGCUCAUUUUGGGGGGUCAGCAUGGUUACUUCCAAACUAGCAUCACUGACUACGACCUGAAAUAACUUUUUUUUUGGCGAAAUUACCACCUGAAAUACUUGAUAAAUCAUUACACCUUAACGGUUUUGUCAUUAGUUAACUAAACCCAUUAGGGGUCUAGCUCCACUUUUAAUCUGAAGUGUUGGUCCCAUGAUGAGAUGGCCUAGCAAAUAAUUAUUGUCGUCGGUCACCUCACAUGCUGUCAGGAGUCAGGAGCCGAAUUAUUUUAAUGUUUUUUUAUAAUGUCUGAGGAUAAUAGACUCACAAUAUCAGAUAUCUAGUUUGUGUCGAUUUGACUUUGGCAUACCGGAUUGAAGAGAACAAAUUUGAAAUUUUUUCCAUUACUCUUGUUCAAACAUAUGUUUUUAGUAUAAAAAAUGUAUGAUGUCAAUGCUUCGGCAUAACAAAUUUAGGCGUUGUUCGGUAUCCCUCCGCUCCACAACUCCGGGAGCAGAGUUGGCAGAGCUGCAGUUCAAAAUGGUGGAGUUGCAGUUCCCCCGCUCCGCGAAUUCCGGGAGUGGGUGAUAACCGAACAGGGCCUUAGUUCUCAGUAUAUUGACUUGUUAAUCAAGAAACUAUUUGAAAAAGAUUCACAAAAUCCUUAUUAAAAUGAAUACAUUAUAUAUGCGUUCUUACAAACUGUUAUGCAUGACUUUGACAACAUUAUAAAGUUGUAAAUAUAAAAUCUUAUAUUUGUUCACUUAUUUCCGUGGAAGAAUUGUUGUCAUCUAUGAUCGGUCUUCUAAAUAUGAACGAUACACAUCCUUCAGAUAACGGCCAUAUUGGUCGAUAUUUCGGUCUAUAUCGUAUGGUAUGUAUGAAAAUAAUACAAAAUGAUAUGCUAUAUCUAUAUCGUUAGGCCCCACAACUGAUAUAUCUGUCGUAUUUCAUGAGAUUUAGAAGCUUGGAGGAUAGUCGGUUUCAAAUAAGGAUACAUAGUUCGACGCCUAAAGGUCAGCAGGUGAUGCACCAUAAGUUCUACUGCACUAGAUAUUUAGUCCCUUUCGGUUCUAGAAACAUUUAAUAACAAACAUUUCUUUUGCAGAAUAAAAGUGAACCAUAGCCAAGAUAAUAAUUGACUCGAGCAUCAAUGCAAUAAUCCAAUGAAGUCCACAUCUUGAGAUAGACCUCACCAAGAAGAUUUUUGAUUAUUUAUUUCUUGUAUGUCCUCUCCACUUCGAGAUAAACAUAGAUAAGAUAUUAAAAAAAAUCUAAACUCAAUAAAUGUCAUGCUAAAUCCAGAGGCAAAUUUUUUUUUGGAACGCUCGUAUGCCUCAUGUUCCAUCUAGAUAGAUAAAUAAAUACAAAAACCACCCACAUGCUUAUUUUCCUUGUGUCUAGUUUGAUUAAGGAUGUAGUGUGUAUCUCUUUCAUUUGAUCAAUAUAAUCUCGUUUGACCCGCAAAGAAAAAGUAACAACCCGGCAUUUUGGCUCUCGGGUGCAUCUGCACCCGAGGUGAACAGUAAAUUCAUUUAAAAUAAUUAAAAAUCAAUAAAAAAAUGAAAAAAAAUGUGAUGCUAGAUGCUCAUGUGCGUGAAGUCCGUGCUAAAUUUCGUGUAGUUUGGUCAUUUCAGUAGCUCUCAUCCAAAAAAAUAAAUUUUAGGGUUGUAAGAAAGUUUAUUGUUUACGUACUGUUUUGACGGAUUUUAUCUUUUUUGCCAUGAGCUCCUCAGAUUUCCGAACAAGCUGAAAUUUGGCGUGAACAUCACGCAUUGGAACAUCUUCCACUCAAAAAAUAAUUUUUUUUGAAUUUACUGUUCACCUGGUGCAGAUGAGCCAGGGCAUCGAAUUGAAUAUCAGAUGAGCAUGGGCACCGAACUGAAUAUCCGGUAUAGUAAUGUUACUUUUGCUACCAAUGGUUAAAUAGCUGGCGAGUUUUGUGGGAUAAUUGGGCACGCCGCUUAGAUCAGUUCUAGCAGAGUCGUCAUAUGUGUAGUCACUAAAAUGCAUAUGAAAUGUGGUGCAUUGAAUUUUGGAGGCUAUCAAGGCGACUUGCAAAUUCAGAGCCACUGUAUUGUCUUCAAAAUAUUUUUAUUGUUAGUAGUUUUCAUUCCAUACUUGAAUUAAAUGUUACAUAACAAUUCAAAAGCAACCAUGUUUUUUAAACAAGUUGCAUGAACAAAAGAUAAAACAUCAUGCAUAUUCAACCGAAUGUACAAAUCACGUGUCAUUGGCUCCUCCUCUAGUGUUUGCACCAUCCCCUCCUCCGUCAUGUGCACCUUCUCCUCCUCGGGUGUGUUGGGCGCUCCGUGCCAUCCUAGAAUGCAUGAUCGUCGCUUGAGUGAACUUGCAAAAUAAUAUUGACACUGGAUCCAUGAUAUUGCGGUCCAACAUCACCAACCGGUUCUCCUCGGUUAUCUUGUCGUGCAUCAACCAGCCAUCCUCAAGUUUAAGCCUAUGCACCUCCAUCUCUUCCUUGCAUCAUGUACUUGCUUGCAUAGCAUCCCACCUCAUCCUCUUCUCUUGCAGCUUCCUCUCCUCCAUAUUCAACUUUUCUUGCUUUCUCUUGUCUGCGUACUCAUGCCUUGACUUCAUCAACUCGGCGAUCUUGUUUUUCAUUACCUCCGCCGCUCGUUGUAUCUUGAGCAUCUCCUUCAAUUGCUUCCUUCCGUCAGGUCGACCCACGCUAGACGCCAAACUGGGUCUUUAGCCACCCUUUCCUCUCCAUCACCAGACGUGAGAGAUUUGAGGGUAUGGUUUGAUUUAUGCCCAAGGUGUUUCCUUGAGGUGCCUCCGAUAGUUUGCACUCGUUUGAUCUUUGUUGACGACCACAUCAAGAGUGAUGUCUUGCCAUGCCCUCACAGGAGCAACAUCCUCUUUCGUGGUGUAGUUUGUGGUCUGAAUUGCUUUCUUCCUUGACGAACCAGAGGGUUGAAAUUGAUCCAGUUCAACCUAUUUGCCCUCCACAUGCAAUUGAUCAAAGUGACCCACCGAUUCCCCAUCAAGAACGAACUAUAGGUCGCAAUUGAAUCAUCCAUCGUUACUAAACGUCGAUCCUCCCAAAUGCACAAAUUCAUUACUACACACACAUACUGCACAAUUGCCACCAUUCUUCCAUCAUCACGUUGCAGUUAGUCAGAACAGUCUAAAGAGAAGGAAGGUUUUUUUUACCCCAUCGGUAAAUCUCCGAGUGCAACGUAGUGGAUACGCGCCCGAGUUUCGCCCUCCCUGGGAACAAAGGGGAGAGGGGGGACGCGGGACGACCCCGACGCACUUGCCUUCUUCCUUCGAUUCUUCACCGUGGAGCAUGUGGCGGAGGCCGACGCCCGGAGUUAACGCAUUAGUGGCAGCAUAGGGUUUGUCACUUUUGCACCCCAUUGAUGACAGGGUGGAGAAAGUGCUGGCCUAGGCGGUGGCAGGUUGUCGUCGAGGCCGGCGGAGGAGCGGGAAUCGCCCAGGAGGAGGAGGAUUCCAUAACGUUGACAUCAUCUGUGGGGUUGUGGGCGUCCGGAGACGGUGCCACAACGAGGGAGGAGUGUUGCGGCGAGAAGAGGAGCGGGGGGCGAAAUGUCACUCGCGCCAAACCGUUUUCCAAAUGGAGUGUGCUCCACAGAUCUCACCACAGCCUUCAAAUAUGGAGGGUCACGACUCGAUUUGAAGCGAUCCCCAACAUUUAUGCCACUGAAGCGAAGGAGGCGAUUCUGCUAGACCCGCUUUUUUCAACCAAAAUCGCCUGGCGUUCCUGCGUUCUGUCUCAUCUCCUCUCUUGUGUUUCUACCAUCUCUUGUUGAGAUAAGAGCCCGUCCCCUGUGGCUAAGCAUCUCCAUCGCGGACACUUGCGAGUCCACUCCCGGAAUUUCUUUGGCAGCGUACACUGUACAGCGCCUAGAGCUUUGAUGUUUUAGCAUGGAAUAAAAAUCGAGAGAUAUCUGUUGCCAAUGGAUUGGACGGUGAAAGGGGUGGGCUAGCUACCAUCAUCACCGGCCACCUGUUUCUUCUCUGUUGCUUUACUUGCACGGCUGCAACACCAACUCCUUCAGCUUUCACUUUCGGCCUAUAUGACGCUCUUCUACUCCAAGCAACAGGUCGGUCAAGAUUCGUGCCCGUUAAAAGCAGACAGGAAGGAAGAAGGCUCCGCCUCAUCAAGGUAAGCUCUAAUCCCUUCAACUCUUCGUCCUCUUUUCCCCACUUGGAUUUCUGCCUUCUUCAACUAUUCAUCCUCUUCUCUCCGUUGGGAUUUCUGCGUCUUUAUUCAGUGAGGGGGUGCCUCUGAGUUGGAUGCCAUGGUGCCGUGGAGGCUGGAGGCCCGCCUGGCGGAGACGGUGAGGGCGGCGCUCCUCGGCUGGCUCUUCUUCUGCAUCACCGUCGCCAGCGAUGUCGCACAUGCGCUCAGAAGCAGCGAUCUCUCCAUCUAAGACCGGCCACGUUCGACAUGGCCAAGACCGACUCUGUGCCUACAAAGUGGCAGUUCAUUGGGCGCACAGGAAGAAAAUUUAUUUACAGCAGUGUAACCAGUCAGUGAGUUCAUCCAUGAGAGAAUGAGUUCGAUGUAAAGGUGAAAUAUUCAUAUAGAUUAGAUGUAAAAUCUUGUGUCAAACAGAGAAAUACUGGCUAUUUGCUCAAAGUGGCCUGACUUUCAAACAAAAGGUAGCAUAGAUAGCGCUGGUGCAACUUAGUAACUAACAAUAUGGCUGGUGCAUCGGACGAACUAAGGACAAAAUUCCGAUAAAUAGCUUUCGCGAGGUGGAGCGGUAUGUACGGAUUCUACUGGUCAUCAGGCAGGAGGUUCCGACUUAUCUGCACUCGAGUGCUAUCACCGCCUUGAUGAUUUCUUGAAAGACCUCGGUUUCUGUCGGUGGCCUCUUGGAGCCUCCUCUUCUUCAUCAUCGUCGUCCUCCGCCACCUUCCUUCUCUUCUUGUGACCACCGUCCUCCCUCAGUUUCUGCCGAAUAAUAACAAAAUGGUGAUUUUAGUAUCACUGCAGCAGUCAUAGCACUUAUGGAGACAAUUAUGGGCACUUCAAAAUUGAUUGCUCCGCCAAGUACAUACCGUCAGUGCAAUCCUCUUUGAAUCUGAUAUAUGCUCACGAAGUAUCAGGAUUUCAUCCAUAUCUACCUUCCGGUCAGGAAUUUCCCUUCCUGCGAAAAUAGGGGACGGCUUCAGAAAGAAAUCUCCAGUUAUGUGUUGCCACGAGACAAGCAACGAGGAAAACUAUUACCAAGGAGCUGCUCAAUCAGCUUAAACCACUCAGCCUCAUACUGAUUCACAAAAGAGACGGCAUAUCCCGAUUGCCCUGCACGCGCAGUCCUACCAACCCGAUGGACAUAAUCCUGCAUUUGGUGCAGCAUAAUUUCUAAGAUCAGUGACAAAAUAUAAAUGCACGAUCUUCUCAAUAAUAAAAGCAAUAUACGAUGAUCGGCAACAGGUACUGAAGUAAACAAGGUAGAAAACCUUAGAAUUCAUUGGAAUAUCAUAAUUCAUAACCACAUCAACUCCUUGAAUGUCAAGACCACGACUCGCCACGUCGGUGCAGAUAAGGAUGUUGAAAUCUUUUGCUUUGAACUUGUUUAAAGCACCUAGUCUUUUGUCCUGAUAAAGAGAAGAUUUAAGAUAAUUAUUUGCCUUGGGAAGUAUUAUUUAUGUUAAGAAAACUAACAUGUCCAUAAUGGAGCUCACUUAUACGGCCUCAAAAGGCUGCAUAACUGAGGCCCUGUUUGGUUCGGCUGUGGAUUUCUAAAAGCAGCUGUGAAAAAUCUGCUGUGGAAAAACAGCUGUGGAAAAUCUGAUGUGAAAAAGAUGUAGGCCAUUUGGCAAACCAGCUGAUACAGCUUUUUCAGAUUUUGGCCCGCAGCGGAAUCAGAUUUUGGAAAGCACGUCCUGGGCUGCUUCCGCUUUUGGUUCAGAUUUUGGCAGCGGAUUUCUGGAAUCGGAUUCUGCUGGGUUCGCCCUUUGGUUCAGAUUCUGCUGCGCAGCAGCGGAAUCCGUCGAUAAAAGCUGAACCAAACAGGGCCUUUAUGGGGAAAUCAAAUACUUUUGUCUGUCUGAUAGAAAAGUUACAGAAGUAAACCUGACUCAUCUGGCCACUGAUAGAGAGAGCUUUAAAACCAAGAUUCCUUAAAGUGAGAGCAAGGAGUCUUGUUGACUCGCAGGUCCGCACGAAGAUCAUGAUCAUGCUCCCUGGCAACUCAUUCAGAACAUGAACAAGAUAACAAUCCUGAAAUAGAAAAUGGCGAAAGAACAACAAAAGGGAAAUCAGUACGCGAGCCACUGUUAGUAAAUAGAGAAAUAUAAUCUCAAAGCAGAACAUGCAUGUGAUUAAAACUAAUCUCCUGAAGUCCAAGGGUAUAGGCAUGGGCAUUCUUUAUCAGGAUUGUUUAUUAAAUGUAGAGUAGAAUCUUAGUCAAAUGGUUUCAUCAACACAGGCUUCAAUCAGUACUGCUAAUAUCAAAUGUAUAGAAGUCCAAAUUCUCUGUUCAAAAAAAGUCCAACAAACAACAAGAUAAUGCAGGCCUACAUUUUAUCACACAAGUUACAUGGGCACAGAACUACAGGUCCUGAUAUUGAGGUACAGAAACGGAUUUCGUCACUUCUUAAAAUUACAUUAUUAUAUUAAGAAGUACAAGAAUUAACCUUGUAAUCUGCAGGAACGAAAUACCACUCUUGUUUAAGUGUGUCCACUGUAGAAUAUUUGGAGGAUACUUCCACCUGGUCCCAAAAAAAGUUCCUCUUAUAUUAGUAAGAGAAAGAAGGCGGCCCAAAAGGUCCUCUUCUAUUGACGCUUUGCUGCUUAUCGAAUGCCUAAAAUAGAAGAAUGGCUUUACCUUAACAGGGUUUCUGAGACAAGCACGUUGCAGUUUGCUUACCUGCAAAGAAAACUCAUAAGCUGUUCUGCAUUCAGGCUAACAAAAAUGUAUGUGUAGCAAAGCUGUGAAGCACCAAUUAGAAAAUUAAGGCUAUUCAUGACUAGAAGCAUGAUUGUUGCAGCUUGGAAGAGCAUAUUGAAGCAGUACUCCUAGAAAUACAAAAUGAUGCACAGUUCACCAGAAUCAAUGCAAUUAUAUGACAAACUGUCAAUCUGUGCACUAUUUCUCAAGACUUUAUAGUGCAAUCACCAAACAAAGUGGUAAACAAGGCCACAUCAAUCUGACAAACACAACAAUGGCAACUGUUGAUGUUUUAGUCCUUUUGGCUCACACAAAACUGCCUGAACCACCAACCUUUUUGGUCAUUGUGGCUGAAAAAAGGUAAGUUCUCCUUUCUUUAGGAAUGACCUUCAGAAUAUCAUCAAGUGAUUCCUUGAACUCCAAAUUAAGUAAUUUAUCAGCUUCAUCAAGUACCUAGAAACCAAGAAGAUUGAGGACAUGUCAAAACAAAAGCAUCUCAGUUUAAACAAGCUGGUAUCCUCCGUCCAAAUUGUGGAGGUAUGAGCUAGUUAUGUAAAGAAAUAGUUGACAAUGAAGGCUCCGAACAGUAUAAUCAACACAUAUUUAUGAUAAGUAACUAUAGCACAUUUGCAACAAUUUACAACUAAGAAACUAUUACAACAACCAGUCAAGCAAUGGAAAACAACUACUGAUUCAUUUAAGUAUUUCUAGUUCACAACACACAAGCUAGGGUGGUUCAGCUUGACAAAACAAUCUUUAAGUAAUUAAAAUGAAAAGAUAUCUUAUUAUAUUAGUUAGCUUAACACUUCAGGGGAACACUGCCUGGAAAAUGUAAGUUUCCACUUUAACAGGUGAGGUAGGAUUUGUGAGAAGCCACUUCUCUAUAUUGCACAUUACUCCUUUCUUUAAUGCAGGUUCUAUCUGUAACAACCAAACAUUUUCCUGACAUCCAACAAUCAGAAUGGUCUAGGCAUAAAUGAAAAAGCAGGAUGAUGUACAAAUUAAAAGAUGAGUACUUGCAAAGAAUGUGUACCAGGUAUUUCACUUUAGUUAGGCUAAAACCUUUUGUAUCUUUCAAAUGGUCCAAAAGACGGCCAGGAGUUCCAACCUGCAUUUUAGAGGAGAUGAUACAUAAAACAAGCUAAGUCCUGAUAAAGACAGUUUUCAAAUACCAUGGAAGAGAACAAAAGUGUUCUUUCUCUGCUUCAACUGGUGUAUGCAAUGGAAGGUCUUGGUCUUAUCUUGUAUACCUAAGUCCCAUGUCUUCUAGACUCUAGAAGCACUUAUAUAUGCUAAAUUCAGUGAAAUGGAGAGUCUUGGGUCUUACUACCUCUGUAUCAAAAUACAAGACGUUUUUAAAGUUCAAAAACGUCUUAUAUUUUGAUACGGAGGAGUACAAGGAUGCGCUUGUCACCACAGUGGCUUUCCAAAUUAAAAGCACUUAUAUUACUCCCUCUCUCAAAAUAUAGUGCAUAUAGAUAUUUGUUAAUACUUUUUCCUGAAAACUUGAUAAAACUUUGACUUGGGACAAAACCUAUAAUUCUAAAUGCACUUUGUUUCGAAUGGAGUAUAUUAACUUCAGGUAUAUUAUGAUCAGUAAAUCCCUCAAGAGCCUUCACAAACAGAAUUACUAGAAAUGGAAGUUAAGGGGGCAUUAAAAGGCUCGAUAAGUUGGCUAAUUGGAGAACCGGAGAAGACACAGGUUGGCCAAAACGGCAUUUCUUAAGUCCAAAAAGAAUUAGUAUAUGCUAAUACUGAUGCUAGAACUUUUCCACUUUGGGAUUUAAACGGGCAUUGUUGAUGGUUGAGUGUUGAUUUUAAUCACAUGCCUCACUUACAAUUUCAAAGCACAAAGGAUCCAUAACCUAUAUUGUCUUAGGUUAGGAUUGGGUAGAGGAUACUCACCACAAUAUGUGGACGUUUUGCAAUGGAUAACACUUGCUGCAUCCGGUCAACUCCUCCAACAAGCUGGAAAAGGGAAAAUAUCUCAACUGAAAAUGAUUCACGUAACUCAAUAGUCUCAUAACUGGUGAUGAAUACUUGAUUUGAGUAGGUAAUAGCAUGGUCACCAAGAGACAUUUUAAUGCAAUAGAAGAUAGAAAAUUUCAUCGAAUUAUACUGAGCAGAAGUAAUCAGAGGAGAAAGGUCAUCAACAAAAAUUGAAAUUGUCGAUAUGGGCUCGUAUAACAACAAACUUAUUCAAUUUAGUUAUGGUCUUUAAACAUUUAGAUAUAACCAUGCUAUGCUAUGCUUUGGCUUCACCACAUUGAAAUAGGCUACAUGCACUAAAAAUUCUAACAGCGCCCCGACAUUACUCCUCUUUGCGUUAUGCCCGCAAGCCAACCAAAGGGAGUAGCUAGCAAUUCACAACCAGCAAUUACAACAACUUGUUAAUCGAAACUAUGGCCCGCGCAAGAACACAAGCAUAUUAAAGUAUGCACAUCCAAUUGGUUGUCGAAAAUAAUUCAUAUCAGAGCUAAAUAAACAGUCAAUUGUAUCAACACCACUUACCACUGAGCAAACCAAGCCGAUAGCUGACCCUAACGCCUCAAACUGCUCCGCAAUCUGAAUCGCCAGCUCCCUGAACCACCACAGCAGUACGGUAAGCUUCCACACAAGCUACCGAUAAGAAAAUACGUCCCAGGAAGGAGAGGGGGGAAAUGGUUACCUCGUGGGCGACAUGAUGCAGGCGAAGAAGGGCUGGCGGUGCUCGAGCAGCGCCUGGAUGAUGGGCAGCGCGAACGCGCCCGUCUUCCCCGACCCCGUCUGCCCCAGCCCAAUCACGUCCCUCCCUGCACGCAGGACCGAGCUCAGAAUCAACGACCUGGACCAUCACAACUGCACACAUAAUGGCCGGCGGCGGCGCUGGUAGUACCUUGGAGGGCGUGGGGGAUGGCCCCCGCCUGGAUCUUGGUGGGCUGCUUCCACCCCAUGGCGUCGCAGGCCUCCACCAGCUCGCGGCAGACGCCCAGCUCGGCGAACGUUGAGGCCUCGGCGGCCGGCUCCGGCUCCGGCUCCGGCUGCUGGGCCUCGCCGCCCCCGGCGACCGCCUUGUCCGCCACCGCCAUGGCUGCGAGAGGAGGGAGUGGAGUCUUCUGUGCGCGCGUGGGCGAAUACGACGGCGGCGGCGGCGGCGGCGGCGGCGUGGGUUUGCUCUGCUUGGCGUGGCGCGCGGAGGCUGCUGGUUGUAUGACGGGAGACAGAACUUGGCGCACACGGCCGCGGGGUCGGCGCGGCGGCAUAAACCCUAGCGGAUGAAGCGGAGGGGAAAAUCUCGUGGGCCGGCAUGCUCGGCGAGCCACUUGGAGCGGCCUCGGUCCGGGAAGAGCCCAUUUCAAAUACUCCGUUUUUAUUUACUUCGCAUAUUAGCUUUGUAUCAAGUUUGGCUCAAAUACCACAUGGUAUGUGUGGUAAGCAAUUUCAUAUUUGAAAUGAUGCUGUUGAGUUAUGAGGCUUUAUUUAAGUGGUGAUCUAGAUAAUAGAGAAUGGAAGUAGAUGAAAAAUACAAAAUCAAAAAAAAAGUUUGGCUCAAAAAAAACUUUGAUCAAGUUUAUAAAGAAUAUAUUAUCCACAAUACCAAAUCAAUAAUUUUAAAAUCAUCAUUGAAUAUAUUUUUAUAUCAUAUAUAUUUGUUAUUAGUCGCGUAGCCAGCCCAACAUCACGUCCCAGACCAACCUCAAUGGUACAAUAUGGAACAGUACAAAUUUUAACAAUGUAUCUGAUGCAAACGAUGAGCAAACUUGCUGCCAUGCCCGGAGCCGCCCCUGUUGCCCGGGGCUUGGCUACGCCAGUGUUCGUCACUGUGAAAGUUUAGAUUGUUUUCCAUAAAUUUUGAUCAAAUUUUAUAAAGUUUGACUUAGAUCAAAACUAAUAUGGGAAGUAAAUAAAAACGGAGGGAGUAUUACACUUAGGUGCUCCUAUUCUUCGAGAGCAACUAAUUGGAGGGUACCUUCUUGGGGAACCUAGGGGUCAUUUUUGGUGGACUGGGAGCGCGCAGGCUCGCACUCCCUCGGGAUUUCGGUGUUUUUCUCAUUCAUGUGUUUUUGGAUUUAUUUAUUUAUUUAUUUGCUUUUCCGCUUUUUUUUUGUUUUCCUUAGGUUUUUUAUAGAAGCAGUGCUUUUCGCAAGAAGUACAACAUGUGUUUUGCGACAAGCACAAUUGUGAUUCCACGAGAAGUAUAACAUGUGCUUCCCGAAAAGGAAAAUGCAUAGACGUGUUUCACAAAAAGGGAAAAACACAGUCAGUACUUUCAUGAGAAGCACAAUUAUGCUUCAUGAAAAGGGAAGAACACAGUUGUGCUUUCUAAAAAAGUGAAAGGCAUAGUACGUGCUUCCCGAAAAGGAAAAAGCACAAUUGUGCUUCUAGGUUCCGGUUUUUUUUUGGGUUUUCAUUUUUCUGUUUUUCCCAGAUUUUAGUAUUUUUUUUUGUUUGUUGGAUUUUUGUGUUUUUUCAUUUUCAGGUUUUUGGGGAAAGAAAAAGUUCUUAGAAACUUAUUAACAUAGGAUCUAGUUGCGAAGAUCUCGACGCGAGGGAUCCAACAGUGAAAAAGGUUCAUGAUUUGAAGCAUGGUUCAAGAGAUAAAACGUUAUGAAAAAACGAAUCUAAAGAAACUUUCAGACAGUGACAAAUGACGCGCAUGCAGUGUGCCACUUGUUAUCACCAUGCAAGAUGGGAGUGACCUCUCCAAGGAGUGCCCUCUAACCGAUGAUCUCGCUAUUCUUCUUCCCCAAUGGACGGUAGGCCUGCCACCCAUGUAGCACUAUGUGCGCUCGAGAGGAACGGUUUUUAGCGUUUUUCAUUUCAGCCAUUUUUUUAUUUUGGUUGUUCAAAAAAAUCAUUAAUUAGUAUAUGUUUGUUAGUUUUAAAUAUUAUUUAGAAAUUUAAAAAUGUAUUUAAAAAAAGAAAAAAUAUUCAAGGAUUUUAAAAUUUUCAUGAGUAUAAAAUGAUGUUUCAUGAAUUUUAAGAUGAAAACAAAAAAGAGAAAAAAAAAAGAAAGGAAAAGACAAAAAGAGAAAAAACAGGUAUAAACCAUCGAGAAAAGGCAGAAAAAUCACGCCUUGUAGAAAACCGUUGAUGAACCAAAAAAACAAAAGAAUAAUUCGCGUAGGCGCACGGUGUGAGGCGAAGAAUCGCUAAGGCCCGAGCACGUCCGGGGUGCAGGGGUAGAAAAGUUGAUCUAAAUUUAUUGUGGCAGCUACCCAUUCAAUGUACAAGAAUUUAAAUUUACUCCCUCCGUUCCAAAAUAAAUGUUAUGGCUUUGGUUCAAAUUUGAACAAAUGGAUAGAGUAGAACCGAAGGUUCAUAAUGUAAAAAUAUAUAGCUUCUCGAAUUUUAUUUUAUUUUAAAAAAUUGUUGGAAUAAACACUUCAGUCAGUUUGGCAUACAGAGUGUACCAAAAACCGGAAAUUCGCAGUAAUUUUACACUUGCGGUUUCUCCUGAUUUGCUAAGCCUUGGUGUACCCGUCCACCACACCAUCUGUAACAGUUUGGGCACAUUCUUCCGCCCAAGUCCGUCAGCGUAGGCGACGAGCAGUAGCAGCAGCACGAAGGAGAAUGAUUGAGAAUGGUCAAUGAUAACUGGCCUAAAUCGCGACUCGAUACUGUGCCCCAAUUAAUCCUUAUCGUCUCCUUGCUGCUGUCUCCUCCCAAGUCCGAAUCGUUCGCUGUUGCGAGGGGGACGGCCAUCCGGACCCCUGUCUCCUUGUCCAGCGUCAGGUAGCCAUGACGCGGACCACUGAGCAGUAGGACGGAGGCUGAAGCCUACAGUCCACCGAACGGAUAACAGCCCAGUGCGACAUGCAUGCAUGCAUGCAUGGAGCACACCAUGCAUGAUUGUGCCACGAGAGCUAUGUAUGGGUAAACUUAGCCCCACUGAUUAGUUAGCACAUCGGUGGCUGCACUUUUAUAUGUUGUCCGGUUUACUCGUCUGUGAGUCGUCCAUCAUAUCUUGUCGUGUGUAUAUAUAGCACAGCUCAAAAAAAGUUGUAACUGAAUUAUGUGCGCCGGCCGGUGAGAUGACAGUAACAGGAGUAACAUGAUAUAUAGCUCGCGUUCUUUGAAGAGGUAGUAGCGGCCAAUUAGUGAGCGGGUUAGGUUUCCUCCUCAGUCCUCGCCAUCAGUCUGUCGUCCCUCAGGAACGGUUAGCCGUGCAGAUGUACAUGGAGUGUGUGUACUUUAGCCGAAGCUGAACAAUGAUUGUUGCUUGCUUAAUUAUCGUCUAAAAAGGCUGAAUGUUAGUAGUGGUGAGUAGGAGUAGCUUGUGUAAAAUGCAUUACCUACCACUAGGCACUAGCACCGCGGCGUUGAGUGGAACUGGCGACGUGCGAUCCAGACUCCAGAGCCUCGAUGUCUUUGGUCUCCGUGGCUGGCUUUACUUACAAGGCAUGCUAAGCCUCUCUGUGUUUGUGUGUGUGUGUGGCUUGCUCUUUUCGUAAGGCGUAAGCCAUGCUUUUCUUCUCCGAAGCCUGCAAGACAUCACCAUCGACUAUUUACUCGUGUGUUAGACAAUGGAAGGAAGAUUAACCAUGCAGUUAUUUUGUAAGAGAGAUGUAAUCGGAAGGUUUUUGCUCCUUCAGCAAAUUAUAAGCUUUUUCUCUUUCUCUUUCCAGACCGGAGUUUAUAACUCUGACGGCAAGGGGAAGAUAAUGUGGGUGGAAACCAUUGUCAGCUCUCACGGAUAAAGUCUCUUACCAUGGACAGUGAUCCGUGAACCUAUCAUCGUCACGGCCUGCGUGCGUUCUACGUUGACUAUAUUGUCAACUCUCAUCACAGCUUGCGUGCGUUUUACAGUACGUUUUUUCUUUUCUUACUAGGGCUACGCCUGCCUGAACUUUAUUAUGACCUCAAAAUCAUAAAGGUUAAGAAGUUACAGCAAGGCGGCAAGGUGGGUGGGUGGAUAGAGAAGAACAAAAGAUAGGAUCACACUAGAUUCUCCAAGAAGAGAACUGCAUUUGUAAAUGUUUACGCCUGCUUUAGUAGUAAAAAAAAAUACGUACUAGAGACGUCGAUGUAUCGGAGGGCCGGCGUAUUGGAAAAGUCGCGCGAGCGCCACCCCGCGUGGAACGCCCGAGCAGGAGACCACUACGGCGAUGCUAUGCAGAAAGCCGUCGUUGUCAGUGCGUGUGGCCCGUUCUUCUCGCUAUCGUCUGAAGAACACACUUCCCACGUUCAGGCUUCAGAGAUAUUCCCUUUCGUUAGUAAAAGUUGCUGGCUCACCACGUAUGUAUUCCUCCGACUUGGUCUCAACGGCAUCAGGACCUUUCACAGUCUGCAUUUCUUUUUUGGAAUUCAGAAUAAAAUCCAUGAAACUGCUGUUUUUUAACCGGAUCGAAUAUUUAUAUUCAGCUGUUGUACAUUAAGAAGGUUUUUUUCCCCUUCAAAGAGAGGGUAAACCCCUAACCUCUGCAUCGAGCAAUACUACAUGGUACCGGUGACCGGUGCCGUAUUUUUUCUGAGGGGGCCAUAAUAUUAUUUCCUUUCACAUAAAGACGGCAAAAUGAACAAGACUACUGCUCACCUGCCAUCUCCCCAAUCUCCAGCUGCAAAUUGUUCAGCAUGGAACCCAUAUAUAACCAGCAAAUCUUCAGUCGUCCUAAACUCUAAACAGUGUUCUUCAUUCAUUCAUCAAGAACAGCGAUGCAUGACAGAUUACCGGGGGCCCAAGAGGCCGAGACAUAACUCGGGUGAGUUGGACGCUUGGGUCCACGAUCUUCCAGGACCAUGCAUGCCCACUGCGCACUGGGUUGAGGUGCCGGGCAUCUACUGUUCUGCAUUGAACUGAACUUCCCAUGCAUGCUCCCUAGUUCCCAGAGCUUCAGCGACACUUGCCACUGUGUAUGAUAGCAGUACAUGUUUUUCCAACUGCCGACACAGUGCAAGCACCAACGAGAAAUGGACAAUGAGAGCUGAACCAUGAACAAUCAUGUGCAUGCAUGCCACUAAAAGGUGUCUAGCCAAUGUUUAGGCAUUCCAACGUAUGGCAAUCUCAGAACUUGGCCAAAAGUUGGCAGCUUUUAUAAAGGUUUAUUUGGUAAUCAACCGGUUGUUAGCCAAUUUGGUAGCAUUUCCAAACAUGGGCAAGCAUCAAACCAAGCAAAGCUUCAGAUCUCUUUCCCCUCCCUAGCAGAGAAUCAUUGUUGAGCCCCUGUUUUUGAGUAAUUGCCUAAUUAGCCUCCGCCUGUUUUGAGGUUACGAUGGGUUACGAACUUGCAAUUGUCGGUACUACAAUAAUGCCAUGUUUUUACCAACUAAAAAAACAAACAUGUGUUUACGUGGUGAUUGAAUUAAAAUGCGAAAAGUUGGAGAAAAUAAACUUAUGACAACAAAAUUUAUCAAAGACAAUUCAGCAUCCACCAGUCUGCCUUGAAUCUUGAUAUACCAACCAAUAAAUUUCAGGAAAAUAACUAAUAUAUCUCGAUCAUCAACUGGUAUAAAUGUGCACAUGUCCUAAAAUGUGUUGGAAAUAAGCCAAUAAGUAAUGACCCUACUUAGUAAGCAUUAUGGGCAAACAUGGUUUGGAAAUAACUAAUGAUUCUAAAUCUUUGUUCCUUUUCCUGUCCUACUGAAAACCACGUUCUACAUUAAUUCAAUCAAAGCAAAUCUUACAAAUCCAUGUCAUGCAUUAAAUCAAUCAAAUUAAAUCUUACCAAAAACCUCAACCAAAUCGAACAUUCCUUGCCUUUUCUACCCAUACGCAAUCAGAUUAAUCCUUACGACAACAUAAACUAAAACAAUUAUUACCAAAAUGAAGAAUAUGGUGUGUAAGGUAUAUGUCAGACACGAUUUUUUUUUUUGCGGGGAAUAUGUCAGACACGAUUGGUGUUGAACCAUUAAAAUAUGCAUGUCCCGUUGCAACGCAUUGGAAAUUGGCUAGUUAUUAGUGAACAGAGCGGAUGACAAUGGGUAGGGUAUGGGGCGGGUAGAGCAAUACCAUACCCAUAUCCAUGUAGUCAAUGGGUACAAAAUUCUAACAAAUACGUGGGUAAAAUUGUCAUCCUUAUUCAGGAUUGUACCUAAACAAUUUAUAACAUUUACUUAAAACUUUAUGUGGAAAUUCAAUGUCCUAAAAUAGAGAUAUAUCUAAUAACCGCCUUGUGGAAAAUGAAGAAAACUAUACUAUUCUAGUAUGCAUGUACAUGUGGCAAUGAGUAACAAGACCCAUUACAAAUGACCGAACCUCUACAAUUAAAAGGGGAGUUGGUAGGUUCGCCUCACCUCCUCCCCCUGUUUUUUCCUUCCCACACACCCUUACCACUUUGGUUUUUUGUUGAUUUUUUUGAUAAUCUCAACCGAUGCAACACACAAAGAACAACGUAAAUAGAGUAAUUUGGAAUAAUAUAAACUAACCCGGCACUUUCCCAAAACCACGUCCUACUCAGUCAAAUCAGAUCAAAUCUUACUAAAAUCUCAACUAAAUCAAAACUUUCAUUGCGUUCCCCUACACACACCGAAAUCAAAUCAAAUCUUAUAAGAAUCUCAAGUAAAUCAAAAAUUUAUUGUCUUCCCCUACCCAUAGUCAAAUCAAAUUAAAUCUUACCAAAAUCUAGAAUACGAUGAGUAUGAAAGAAUAGGUAGUCAUAUAAUUAAAAUAAGUAAAAUAUGUUUUUUGUAGGUAUGGUAAUUCACCACAAUGUCAAAUCUAAAUGGACUAUUCACGUAAUGUAAGAGCAUUUUUUUCGGUCAAUAUAAGAGCGUUUUUACACUACUAUAAUGUCAAAAACGCUUUCAUAUUAUAGGUCGGGAAAUAGUAGCUAAUUGUCCAUGCUCUGUCCCUAUCAAGUCCUCCAAAACGAUCUGCCCCAGUCAAAACCUCCUGAACUGAAACGAACAGAGAGCCGUGUGCUACUUCUCCUAUUUGCGCUGUCAACAGAACAUGGUUCACACAAAAUAGAGAAAAAGUAAAAGUUAGGGUGAAGAAAAUGACAGGCUCUCGUUGAGGGCGAGCACAACAAACGUUCAAGAACCUUCCUUUCCAGUUGCAAAAAUCACAAGUCCAUUCCCACCGGUAAUAACUGCCACACCGGGACAAAUACUAGCCAGCCAGAGCUAGCCACUCAGUCUACUCACAAAGUAUAGCAAGUAGCAACCACAAAAACUAAUGACCAAAUAAACAUAAAAUGCUUCCAAACUAAGCAAAGAAAUGCGCAAAAAUGCUUAUUUUGGUCAUCGCCCGCUGGUUCCAACUGGAAACGCCCUCUGUCUCUCAAUUAGUUGCUGGUUUUUCUGCAGAAAUUAGUUGCUAAAUUGGCUGUGCGUGCCAUUUUUGCUCGCAAGAUUUAGUUGGUGAAUUCGUAGCUGAGUUGUUUUUGACACACCCAGCAUCAAGAAGAGGAGGAGAACCAAAGUAAAAGCAACGAGGAAACUUCCACCGGGAGAAGAAAAGAAAAGAGUAAUAUAUAUAUACGCCACCACUAAGUAAACCCCACCUCGAUCCACCUUCCGGCGAAACCAAUUCAUUGCUCGCUUUCGCAAGACUCUUUCUUUCUCCCCUUUCCUCUCCCCCCAACCCGUCCGUCGUCGCCUCCGCCCGAGGUAACCGCCAUAGCCGCGAGGAAUCAAGAACCUUGCCUGCCGCACGUCGUCCCUGAGGACCGAGAGGAGACGAUGGAGGGCGGCUGCGGCGUGGCCGGCGGGACGGAGGGCGGCGGCGGCAAGAAGCAGCAGCAGCAGGCGCGGCCGCAGUUCGGGCGGUCGCUGACGUACCACCACCACCAGGGGCACCGGCUGCUGCCCCGGUGGCGGCGGCCGCAGCUGGCGGACGAGCCCCGCGCGCGGCCGCAGGCGGUGGUGCUCUACACGACGUCGCUGCGCGGGGUGCGGCGCACCUUCGCGGACUGCUCCGCGGCGCGCGCCAUCCUGCGGGGGUCCCGCGUCGCCGUCGACGAGCGCGACGUGUCCAUGGACGCGGCGCUCCGCCGCGAGCUGCAGGCGCUGCUGGCCGCGCGGGGCCGCGCCUUCUCGCUCCCGCAGCUCUUCAUCGGGGGCCGGCUCGUCGGCGGCGCCGACGAGGUCCGGCAGCUGGACGAGUCCGGCCAGCUCCGGCGCCUCCUGGAGGGCGCCGCGGGGCAGGACCCGGCCUUCGUCUGCGACGCCUGCGGCGGGGUGCGCUUCGUCCCCUGCCCCGCCUGCGCCGGCAGCCGCAAGGUGUUCGACGAGGAGGAGGACCGCGCCCUCCGCUGCGGCGACUGCAACGAGAACGGGCUGGUGCGCUGCGCCAACUGCUCCUCCUGAUCCUUCCCCGCCGCUAAUUGAAUCCAAGGGUUAGAGUUGGUAGAUUCGUCGUCAGUCAGAUCAGAGAGGGGCGCAUUUUCGGUUUCUUGGGAGUUCUUGACUUAUGAUUUAUGUAUCCUGAAUCAAUCAAUCCGAUCGUUUGGGGAUCGGAUUGUUAGCUGCUCAUGGACGGAAGAGAACGAAUUGUUCUUGGCUCCUUUGCUGCGGGAAUCGCCGCCCGGUGGUGGUGAUUGGUGAUGAAUAAGAGCCGGUGCUUGUAUAUGUGUGUAAAAUCUGGCGCUGAGAUUAGCCUGAUUGGUUAAUGUGUAACGAAGAACUGAUGUAAAUACUUGAGCUCUGGGAGUGAUAAAUUAUUUUCUAGUUCCUUGAUUAUCCAUGGCUUUGGUCAAAUCUCUUCAUGGAUGUACUACAGUAGCAACACAGUUCGAUACCUCAUCAAGAACUGGCCCAACUGUACUAGCAGAAAGUCUUCAAGGCCGAAACUAGCUGUGAUCGACUGUACUACUCAGUCAGAAGCUGUACUCAUGCUGUUCUAUAGCUGUGUUCUAAAUUAGAGCCACCUCUUUUGUUCUUUAAUCAUGCAAGGUGAGUUGGGUAUUUAACAAGUUUUGAGCCUGGGGUGAUUAAUUCUUGCAUAGUUCUUUAUCUGAUCUCUUUAUCUUUCAUUGCUUUGAUGAUCCAUCUUAUAAGUACACGGUUUGAUUUCUUCAUGCACAGAUGUGUCAUUCCAUGGACGUACAGUUAUAUACAUCUUAAAACAAUGUGAUCGAUCGUCAUCCGGAAAUGAUCAUGAUCUGACUGUACUUACUAAAAGUCCUUAAUCAUGUUGCAUUCAAGUUGUUUUCCAAAAUUGCAGCCACCUCCUUCUUUACUUUAAGAUUCGUUGAGGUAAUGUGACCAUGGUGACCAAUUCAUCCACAAGAACUUAUGAUGAUCUCAAGAGAGAAAAGAAAGAAAGAAAACUUGUGAUUGAUGUAGCUAGAAGUCCACUGUAUUUUGAUCAUGAUCUAGUAAAGCUUUCUGUCUUGUGUUUUUCUUCUCCGUUGUAUUAGUGUAAGCCUGGUGACCAGUUCAUCCAGAAAGAGCUCCUGGUGGGGUGGUCUCAGGAGAGAAAACAUCUUCUGAUUGAUGCAGCUAUAAGUCCAUUGUAAUUUAUACGAUCUGGUUAUAAAACUGUGGAUUUGUGACCUACCGGUGCCAACAGCAAAAAUUGAGGGGAUCUCUGACUAUAGGCCUAUCAGUCUUAUCCACGCCGUUGCCAAAAUCAUCGCCAAGGUGCUGUCCAUUCGCCUAGCGCCGCUCAUGGAUGCUCUGGUUUCCAAUGCGCAGAGUGCAUUUAUCAAGAAGAGAAGCAUUCAUGAUAAUUUCAUGUAUGUUCGCAACUUUGCUCGUCGGCUGCACAAGUGCAAGACUCCAGCUCUGUUAUUCAAGCUGGACAUCAAAAAGGCUUUUGACUCAGUCCGAUGGGAGUAUGUCUUGGAUCUCAUGGAAUGCAUGGGGUUCCCUGAUAAAUUCAGAAAUUGGAUUGCGGCCUUGCUUUCCUCCUCGUCCUCGCGCUUCCUCCUCAACGGCCUGCCUGCCCCCCCACCCCCCCAUCAGGCAUGGACGUGGUUUUCGCCAAGGAGACCCCAUCUCGCCUCUGCUCUUCGUGCUCGCAAUUGACCCGUUGCACAAGAUCCUCGACUUGGCUAUGCGCAAGGGAAUCAUUCAUAAGAUUCGUGGCCGAGGUGCAAUGGUCAGAACCUCCCUCUAUGCGGAUGACGCUGCCAUGUUCAUGGCGCCAAUUAAGAGUGAUAUUGACAACCUUGCAACCAUCUUAAAAGGCUUUGGAGACGUCACGGGCCUUUGCACCAACUUCCACUGAAGCUCUGUCUUUCCCAUUCGAUGCGCCAACCUUGAUCCUGCGAGCAUUCUCAGCAGCAUCCCGGCGACCAGGGCGUUUUUCCCUAUCAAAUACUUGGGCCUCCCGCUCUCGGUUUGGAGACUGAAGAAAGUUGACUUCCAAUACCUCCAGAACAAGGCAGCUGAAAAAUUGGUCACCUGGGAUGGGCAGAACAUCACCACCAUUGGGCGCACGGCCCUUGUUCGCUCUGUCAUCACCUCUCAGGCUGUGUACUCCAUCACACCACUCAUUGUCCCUCAGGGUUCCCUUGACAACCUCAACAAGAUUGAGCGAGCUUUUCUUUGGUCCGGCUCUGACAAGACCAUCGGUGCCAAAUGUAAAGUCAACUGGGACAUGGUCUAUCGCCCCACCAGCUAUGGGGGUUUGGGUGUUCUUAACACCGACAAAUUUGCUCGUGCUUUGAGGCUCAGAUGGCUUUGGUUUGAAUGGAAAGAGCCGUCCAAGCUCUGGGUCGGCCUGGGCAACCCUUGCACCGAGGAGGACUGUGAUUUUUUCUACGCCUCCACUUCCAUCAUCGUGGGCAAUGGGGCCAAAACGCCUUUUUGGGACUCCCCCUGGCUGCUUGGCCGCAAGCCGAAGGACAUUGCAUCUCUCAUCUUUGAGGCCUCGAGGAGAAAGAACUGGAAGGUGCGAGAGGCUAUUAUAGAGAAUGCUUGGAUGCUUACGAUCAGACGAGACAUCACCAUCACUGGCCAGCAUGUGCGGGAAUUUUUCAUCCUCUGGAUGCUCAUCCAUGACAUACACCUCGACAUCCACUCCGAGGAUGACAUCAUUUGGAAGCACUCUUCGGAUGGCUCAUAUUCGGCGUCCACUGCAUACAACGCACAAUUUCUGGGUUUGACGCUUUCCCCCAUGGACUCCAUGGUCUGGAAAAUGUGGGCGCCCCCAAAGGUCAAAUUCUUCUCUUGGCUGGCCUUACAAGAUCGGAUUUGGACCGCCGACAGGCUAGAGCGACGUGGCUGGGACAACUGCGGUCUUUGCCCGCUCUGUAAUCAGGUGCAGGAGUCGGGCGUCCACCUAUUCGCCAAAUGCCGCUUCACCUUGAGGCUUUGGCGGAUGCUCAUUGACAAGUAUGGGCUUGCGCAUCUGGACCCUUCUGACUGGCACCUUGAGGAUUCCCUCCUCUCUUGGUGGGACAAGCGCACCAAUUCGAGCAUUCCGGAUCGUCGAGCCAUGGCCUCCCUUACCAUGCUCGUAUCCUGGACAAUUUGGAACGAGAGGAACGGUAGAGUCUUCCGCCACAAAGAGACGCCACCGCCAAUCCUUCUCAAGCUUAUUAUAGAUGAGGCCAACCUAUGGGUUACUGCAGGGGCUAAACAAUUAGGGAAAAUUGUAUCGCGCGAGUAAUUGUCAUGCCGGCCUUGUGUAACUCUACAAAACUUUAUUCUCCUCUACUUUAAUAGAUGAGGCAAACCUUUUGCCUCCGUUUUGAAAAAAAAAAAUCCAAUGGAAGCAGCCGCAGAAUUGCCACUCCAGCAGAAACGGCCAUCCCAUCACACCAGGAAUUAGGGUCAGAACAUCGGUGGGGCUGAUACAAAUGCGAGUCUGACACAGAGGGGAGGGGAGCUGCGAUUCCGGAGCCAGCAGCAAGAAUCCAUCAGAACAGCACUGCAGGCCUGGUCCAAGGCAAAAAACAAAGAGGUGUGCCUUCAGCGAUGCGAACCAACAAGAUCGUGGCGUGUUUGCGUCCAUGUGUGCCACAUCAGUACCGGCUGUACCACCUAGGUUCGUAUCGCACAUCGAUGAAGCUACUGUCGGUAGAUCGUGGCCAUCGCGGUGUAGCGAUGACUCGUGGUGUAUCAUCUGGAUUCUGGAAGACCGUAACCAUGAAUAAUUUAUUUUAACACACACAGACGCAAGCAUUUAUAUAUGUGUACAUACACUCACCUCUAUAAAUGCACACACACCCUAACUGAACACCACAUCCUUCCCUCACACCCAUGGCGGCAUCAAUUUUCUUUUCAAAAUGGCAGGAUUCCUACAUUUAUUGAGAAAAAAAUAGUUGCCUAGUUUUUUUUUGCGUGGAAAAUAGCUACUUAGUUAAUUGGGGAAAACCGAGCGAAAACCAGUUAAUUAUGAAGAACCGGACGAAAAUCAUCACAAUUGCUGAGCGGCACAUAUAAGAUAUUCCACGCAUAUCACUCCAAAGAGGGCAUCGUCGAGAUAACACGCAAGCGUCAUCGUCAUCAUUUCUGCCCUAGAGACGUCAUCGCCAUCCCUAAGGGGCUGUUUGGUUCAUGCCCAAGCCAACCCCGCCAAUAUCGGGUUUGCCAAAUUAUUGGCAAAGGUUUUCGCCGCCGCCGCCUCGCCAACGCGCGGGCGCUAAAUCUGAACGAACCACCAAAGAAUUGGCUUGGACAGCAAACUCUGGCUUUGAUCCAAACGGCGGUCGAUACUAGUGGUCAACGCCAAAAAUUUGGUAGGGAAGCCGCGGGCUGCAUUCCAAACAGCCCCUAAACCCUGAGCAAUCAACUCCGACUUCGCCAUAAGCGGUCGUCGGCCCAACCCUCAUUGUAGAGGCCGUGUGAAGAUGAAUGAAGAUCCGCGCCAGAACUCGGCCACCCGCGACCAAACAACACAGCUCUGACUUUGACGAAGAACCAGAAGGAGAACUAGGCACGACUAGCGCUGCAGAAGAUCAUCGAACAAACCACCUACUGUCUGUCAUUGUACGCCACCGGGACCCCGCCACUGCAGUUUCGACUUCAUAGCAACAAACCGGCCGAGGCAAUCCCGCAGACACGUGAGAGAAGAGCCGACUACCUCAACCAUAGCCACGUCUCUAACAUUGCUUCCCACGUGAUCGUUGCCACAAAAGCCUCGAGCCAACACCGCCGUCUUCCACUGAUCUCGCUAGCCAAUACCCAGCUCCAAAGACAAAGCCCCCAAGAGGAAAUACGACACCAAGGGGUCGCCAUCGUCCCAUCAAACAACAUCAAGGGUUUCCCUGGAGUUGCAGCAAUUCGGGCAAGGAAGGGGAUGCAGCAACAAUACAUAGUACAACGAACGACACACAUACCCGCAAGGUUUUUUAUUGACGGUCCACUUACAACCGGGCUAGUUGCGGUGAUUCAGAUGCUUGGGCCUGGCCUGACUUGACCGAACCGGAAUCCAAACCGCCUCCUGCUAAAACACCAAAAUUCCAGUUAAUUUACUUAUCAAAAAGUGCAAGUACGCCUGUUCCCUCUAGUUAGGGUUUUCCUUCUCUCGAGGCGAUCUUGAUCGCCGUUGUUGAGAUCGUUCUCUUCCCUACCUCUGCCGUGUUCUCCGGCCCUCUCUCUUCGAGCGGAGGUACGGCGGCGACCUUGGUCCAGGCGGGACUAGGGAGGGAGGGGAUCUAGGGUUUUUCCUCAAGGCCCGGUGUUCUAAUCGGGUUAGGGUUUGCAGUUUUCCAUGGCGUCGGACGGAGCUUCGGGAUCGCGCUCAGCAGGGCCCUCCGAGGCGGACGACGUAACAACACUGAUGAUGGAGCUAGGUCUUCGAGAGGAGGACCUUGACGAUGUGGUUUUCGACGAGGAUGAGGCGCCGUCGGCGGCGGCGCGAUGGAUCGCGCUGGUCAGGGUGCACACGCCCAAAUCAUACAUCCAAUAUUGGUUCUUUAAGAAUAUGAGAGCGGCGUGGGAUCUAGCUCAGGAGUGAAGGAAAUAUGCCCUAGAGGCAAUAAUAAAUUUAUUAUUUAUUUCCUUAUAUCAUGAUAAAUGUUUAUUAUUCAUGCUAGAAUUGUAUUAACCGGAAACAUAAUACAUGUGUGAAUACAUAGACAAACAUAGUGUCACUAGUAUGCCUCUACUUGACUAGCUCGUUAAUCGAAGAUGGUUAAGUUUCCUAGCCAUGGACAUGAGUUGUCAUUUGAUUAACGGGAUCACAUUAUUAGGAGAAUAAUGUGAUUGACUUGACCCAUUCCGUUAGCUUAGCACUUGAUCGUUUAGUAUGUUGCUAUUGCUUUCUUCAUGACUUAUACAUGUUCCUAUGACUAUGAGAUUAUGCAACUCCCGUUUACCGGAGGAACACUUUGUGUGCUACCAAACGUCACAACGUAACUGUGUGAUUAUAAAGGUGCUCUACAGGUGUCUCCGAAGGUACUUGUUGGGUUGGCAUAUUUCGAGAUUAGGAUUUGUCACGCCGAUUGUCGGAGAGGUAUCUCUGGGCCCUCUCGGUAAUGCACAUCACUAUAAGCCUUGCAAGCAUUGUGACUAAUGAGUUAGUUGCGAGAUGAUGUAUUACGGAACGAGUAAAGAGACUUGCCGGUAACGAGAUUGAACUAGGUAUUGAGAUACCGAAGAUCGAAUCUCGGGCAAGUAACAUACCGAUGACAAAGGGAACAACAUAUGUUGUUAUGCGGUUUGACCAAUAAAGAUCUUCGUAGAAUAUGUAGGAGCUAAUAUGAGCAUCCAGGUUCCGCUAUUGGUUAUUGAGCGGAGACGUGUCUCGGUUAUGUCUACAUAGUUCUCGAACCCGUAGGGUCCGCACGCUUAAAGUUAGAUGAUGAUCGGUAUUAUGAGUUUUGUGUUUUGAUGUACCGAAGGUAGUUCGGAGUCCCGGAUAUGAUCACAGACAAGGAGUCUCGAAAUGGUCGAGACAUAAAGAUUGAUAUAUUGGACGACUAUAUGUUCGGACACCGGAAUGGUUUCUGGGAGUUUCGGACACAUACUGGAGUACCGGGGGGUUACCGGAACCCCCCGGGGAGACUAAUGGGCCUAUUGGGCCCUAGUGGAGAAGAGGAGGGGCGGCCAAGGGCAGCCGCGCGCCCCCUUCCCCCCCAGUCCGAAUUGGACAAGGAGGGGGGCGGCGACGCCCCCCUUUCCUUUCACCCCUCUCUUCCCGGUGGGAGUAGGACUCCUCAUGGGGCGCGCCUAGGGUGGCCGGCCCCCUCCCCCUCCUCCACUCCUUUAUAUAUGGGGAGGGGGGCACCCCUUGGAGACACAACAAUUGAUCUCUUGAUCUCUUAGCCGUGUGCGGUGCCCCCCUCCACCAUAUUCCACGUCGAUAAUAUCGUAGCGGUGCUUAGGCGAAGCCCUGCGUUGGUAGCAUCAUCAUCACCGUCACCACGCCGUCGUGUGAUGACCCACAAGUAUAGGGGAUCUAUCGUAGUCCUUUCGAUAAGUAAGAGUGUCGAACCCAACGAAGAGCAGAAGGAAAUGAUAAGCGGUUUUCAGCAAGGUAUUCUCUGCAAGUACUGAAAUAAGUGGUAACAGAUAGUUUUGUGAUAAGAUAAUUUGUAACAAGCAACAAGUAACAAAAGUAAAUAAAGUGCAGCAAGGUGGCCCAAUCCUUUUUGUAGCAAAGGACAAGCCUGGACAAACUCUUAUAUAGAGAAAAGCGCUCCUGAGGACACAUGGGGAUUAUCGUCAAGCUAGUUUUCAUCACGUUCAUAUGAUUCGCGUUCGGUACUUUGAUAAUUUGAUAUGUGGGUGGACCGGUGCUUGGGUGCUGUUCUUACUUGAACAAGCAUCCCACUUAUGAUUAACCUCUAUUGCAAGCAUCCGCAACUACAACAAAAGUAUUAAGGUAAACCUAACCAUAGCAUGAAACAUAUGGAUCCAAAUCAGCCCCUUACGAAGCAACACAUAAACUAGGGUUUAAGCUUCUGUCACUCUAGCAUCUACUUAUUACUUCACAAUGCCUUCCUCUAGGCCCCAAUAAUGGCGAAGUAUUAUGUAGUCGACGUUCACAUAACACCACUAGAGGCUAGACAACAUACAUCUCAUCAAAAUAUCGAACGAAUACCAAAUUCACAUGACUACUAAUAGCAAGACUUCUCCCGUGUCCUCAGGAACAAACGUAACUACUCAUAAAACAUAUUCAUGUUCAUAAUCAGAGGGGUAUUAAUAUGCAUAAAGGAUCUGAACAUAUGAUCUUCCACGAAAUAAACCAACUAGCAUCAACUACAAGGAGUAAUCAACACUACUAGCAACCUACUAGUACCAAUCCCGGACUUCGAGACAAGAAUUGGAUACAAGAGAUGAACUAGGGUUUUGAGAGGAGAUGGUGCUGGUGAAGAUGUUGAUGGAGAUUGCCCUCUCCCGAUGAGAGGAGCAUUGGUGAUGACGAUGGCAAUGAUUUCCCCCUCCCGGAGGGAAGUGUCCCCGGCAGAACAGCUCUGCCGGAGCCCUAGAUUGGUUCCGCCUCGUGGCGGCGCACUCUCGUCCCGAAAGGUUGCUUAUGAUUUUUUUCUCGACGAAAGACUUCAUAUAGCAGAAGAUGGCCACCGGAGGAGAGCCAACAGGGGGCCCACGAGGCAGGGGCGCGCGUCCCCACCCUCGUGGCCAGGUGGGGCCCCCUCUGACGUACUUCUUCCGCUCAAUAUUUUUUAUUAUUUCCAAAAAUGACUUUCGUGGAGUUUCAAGACUUUUGGAGUUGUGCAGAAUAGGUCUCUAAUAUUUGCUCCCUUUCCAGCCCAGAAUUCCAGCUGCCGGCAUUCUCCCUCCUUAUGUAAACCUUGUAAAAUAAGAGAGAAUAGGCAUAAGUAUUGUGACAUAACGUGUAAUAACAGCCCAUAAUGCAAUAAAUAUCGGUAUAAAAGCAUGAUGCAAAAUGGACGUAUCAACUCCCCCAAGCUUAGACCUUGCUUGUCCUCAAGCGGAAGCCGAUAACGAUAAAUAUGUCCACAUGUUUAGAGGUAGAGGUGUCGAUAAAAUAAAAUACGGACAUGAGGGCAUCAUUAUUAUUCUCAUAACAGCAACAUAUAUGGAUAUUGUCAUAUGAUUUCUUAUGCUCAAGUAAUAAUCUAUUCACAAUGCAAAAGUACGAAUCAUAAACUUUAUUGAGAACCAACAAACUAUAAUCUCAGUCAUUGAAGCAAUUGCAAUUUAUCAUAACAUCAGAAAGAUUCUAUGUCAGAGCUUUCUAGCAAGUCCACAUACUCAACUAUCAUUUAGUCUUUCAUAAUUGCUAACACUCACGCAAUACUUGUGGUUACGUAGUUUUAAUCGGACACAGAGAAAGAUAGGGGCUUAUAGUUUCGCCUCCCAACCUUUUACCUCAAGGGUAAUGUCAACAAUAAUAACUCUUGGUCCCCUAUAUCCAAUUAGAUAUAUCUAUCAGGAUCUUUCCAACAUACUGUGCUUGCCAAAGGAGAAAAUGUAAAAAGGAAAGGUGAAGAUCACCAUGACUCUUGCAUAAGGUAGAAGAUAAUAGUAAAAGAUAGGCCCUUCGCAGAGGGAAGCAGAGGUUGCCAUGCGCUUUCAGGGUUGGAUGCACAAAAUCUUAAUGCGAAAGAACGUCACUUUAUAUUGCCACUUGUGAUAUGAACCUUUAUUAUGCAGUCCGUCGCUUUUAUUUCUUCCACAUCACAAGAUCGUAUAAAGCUUAUUUCCUCCACAACAAUCAAUCAUACAUAUUUAGAGAGCAAUUUUUAUUUCUUGCACCGAUGACAGCUUACUUGAAGGAUCUUACUCAAUCCAUAGGUAGAUAUGGUGGACUCUCAUGGAAAAAUCGGGUUUAAGGGUUUUUGGAAGCACAAGUAGUAUCUCUACUUGGUGCAAAGAAUUUGGCUAGCAUGAGGGGGAAAGGCAAGCUCAACAUGUUGGAUGAUCCAUGACAAUAUACUUUAUCUCAGAUAUAAGAAAACAUAACCCAUUACAUUGUCUUCCUUGUCCAACAUCAACUCUUUAGCAUGUCAUAUUUUAAUGAGUGCUCCCAAUCAUAAAAGAUGUCAAGAUAGUAUAUUUAUAUGUGAAACCUCUCUUUCUUUAUUACUUCCUAUUAAUUGCAACGAUGACCAAAGCUAUGUUUGCCAACUCCCAACAACUUUUAAUCAUCAUACUCUUUCUAUGUGAUGUCAUUACUCUCCAUAAGAUCAAUAUGAUCUCUUUGUUUCUUUUUAUUCUUUUUCUCUUUUCUUUUAUUCACUCAAGAUCAUGGCAAAAUAAUCAAGCCCUUGACUCAACACUAAUCUUUAUUAUAUAGCACACGGAGUCGAUUACAUAGAGGGAUCAUAAAGCAAAACUCAAAACUACAUCAUGCCAUAAACUUUAUUCUACUAGAUCAGGAUACUACUAAUAGGAUCAAACUAAGAAAAACGGUAAAGAUAUAUAGGAGUGUGAUGGUGAUACGAUACCGGGGCACCUCCCCCAAGCUUGGCAAUUGCCAAGGGGAGUGCCCAUACCCAUGUGACUAUAUCUCCUUCUUCGGAGGUGAUGGUGCGAUAUUCUUGGGGACGAUGCCCCUCAGGAUACGAUUCUCCUCCUCAAGCUUAUUGACUUUCUGCUUGAGGUUUGUUACUUCCUUACGAAGCUUUCCUGUAAUGGCUAAAGCUCCUUGCACCCAAGGGUGUUGCAUAGCUGCGGGAGAACAAGUGACACUCUUCUUCAUAUUUUCAUAAGAAAGAAAUCUAACAUUGGAAGGGAUAACCGAGUUUGGAAUGGCUGAGCUUUGUGGUUCUCCCAUCGUGAACCCAGCUCGGAAGCGAGAAGUGACUUCUUGAUCCUCCAUGGCAUCUAUCCUCAUCAAAUCAGCCUCCAUCUCUUCCUCCGUUGCUGGCCCAAAGUGGUCAGCAUCGCUGUUUGUCCUUGGUUCCGAUGCCGGAUGUGACACCCGGCUCUCCCCAACCGACUCUUGAGAAGACAUCUUGCUGUAAUCUGCAGCAGCAACAGCUUGAAACAAGAACAGAGAAUAUUUGCGUGAUACAUGAGUCAAAACCUUCGGGAGAAUAUAUAACGAAUUUUUACCGACCAAAAUACGUAUCGUGCAAGAGAACGAAGUCCGGAGAGCACACGAGGUGCCCACGAGGUAGGGGGGCGCGCCCAAUAGGGUAGGGCGCGCCCUCCACCCUCGUGUCCUUCCCGGACUGCCUCUUAUUUUUCUAAUUUUCUAAAUAUUCCAGAACGGAGAAAUAUUGCCUUUAAAACUGUUUUGGAGUCGGUUUACUUACCGUACCACAUACCUAUUCCUUUUCGGAGUCUGAAACGUUUCGGAAAGUGUCCCUUAUGUAUUCCUCCGGGGUUACGGUUUGAAUAACAUUGGUUUCAACAUUUAUGGGAUUACCUGAGAUAUAAUGUUUGAUUCUUUGACCGUUCACCACCUCCGGAUUUGUGCCUUCGAAGUUGUUGAUUUUUAUGGCACCGGAAUGAUAGACCUCCUCGAUAACGUAAGGGCCUUCCCAUUUAGAGAGAAGUUUUCCUGCAAAAAAUCUUAAACGAGAGUUGUAUAGCAAUACAUAAUCACCUACAUUAAACUCACGCUUUUGUAUCCUUUUGUCAUGCCACCUUUUAACUUUUUCUUUAAACAACUUGGCAUUUUCAUAAGCUUGGGUUCUCCAUUCAUCAAGUGAGCUAAUAUCAAAUAACCUCUUCUCACCGGCAAGUUUGAAAUCAUAAUUGAGCUCUUUAAUAGCCCAAUAUGCCUUAUGUUCUAGUUCGAGAGGUAAGUAACAUGCUUUCCCAUAAACCAUUUUAUACGGAGACAUACCCAUAGGAUUUUUAUAUGCAGUUCUAUAAGCCCAUAAUGCAUCAUCAAGUUUCUUGGACCAAUUCUUUCUAGACCUAUUGACAAUCUUUUGCAAAAUUAAUUUGAGUUCUCUAUUACUCAAUUCUACUUGACCACUAGACUAUGGGUGAUAAGGAGAUGCAAUUCUAUGAUUAACAUCAUACUUAGCAAGCAUUUUUUGGAAUGCACCAUGAAUAAAAUGUGAACCACCAUCAGUCAUUAAAUAUCUAGGGACUCCAAACCUCGGAAAAAUAACUUCUUUAAGCAUCUUAAUAGAGGUGUUAUGAUCAUCACUACUAGUUGGAAUAGCUUCUACCCACUUAGUAACGUAAUCAACAACUAAAAUAUGUGUGUAACCAUUAGAGGCAGGAAAAGGUCCCAUAUAAUCAAAGCCCCAAACGUCAAAUGGUUCAAUAACAAGUGAAUAAUUCAUAGGCAUUUCUUGACGUCUACUAAUAUUACCAAUUCUUUGACAUUCAUCACAAGAUAAGACAAACUUGCGGGCAUCCUUGAAGAGAGUAGGCCAAUAAAAACCGGAUUGCAAUACCUUAUGUGCAGUUCUAUCUCCAGCGUGGUGUCCUCCAUAAGCUUCGGAGUGACACUUGCGUAGGAUCUGUUCCUGUUCAUGCUCAGGUACACAACGUCUAAUAACACCAUCUACUCCUUCUUUAUAAAGAUGUGAGUCAUCCCAAAAGUAAUGUCUCAAAUCAUAGAAAAACCUUUUCUUUUGCUGAUAUUUGAAACUAGGUGGUACGAAUUUAGCAACAAUGUAAUUAGCAUAAUCAGCAUACCACGGAGCAGCACGAGAAGUACUUAUGACAUUUAAUUGCUCAAAAGGAAAGCUAUCAUCAAUAGGUAGUGGGUCAUCAAGAACAUUUUCUAACCUAGACAAGUUGUCUGCAACGGGGUUCUCAGCUCCCUUUCUAUCAACAAUAUGCAAAUCAAAUUCUUGUAGCAAGAGAACCCAUCUAAUAAGUCUAGGUUUAGCAUCUUUCUUUUCCAUAAGAUAUUUAAUAGCAGCAUGAUCCGUGUGAAUAGUUACUUUAGAAUCAACAAUAUAAGGUCUGAACUUAUCACAAGCAAAUACAACUGCUAAGAAUUCUUUUUUAGUAGUAGCAUAAUUUCUCUGAGCAUUAUCUAGAGUUUUACUAGCAUAUUGAAUAACAUUUAAUUUCUUAUCAACUCUUUGCCCUAGAACAACACCUACAGCAUAAUCACUAGCAUCACACAUAAUUUCAAAGGGUAAAUUCCAAUCAGGUGGCUGAACGAUAGGUGCAGAGAUCAAUGCUUUCUUAAGUAUUUCAAAUGCUUCUACACAAUCAUCAUCAAAGACAAAUGGUAUAUCUUUUUGUAAUAAAUUAGUCAGAGGCCGAGAAAUUUUUGAGAAGUCCUUAAUGAACCUCCUAUAACAUCCGGCGUGACCAAGGAAACUUCUUAUACCUUUGGUGUCAAUGGGACAUGGCAUCUUUUCAAUAGCAUCAACCUUGGCUUUAUCAACUUCAAUACCUCUUUCAGAGACUUUAUGCCCCAAGACAAUACCUUCAUUAACCAUAAAGUGGCACUUUUCCCAAUUCAAGACAAGAUUAGUUUCUUCACAUCUCUGCAAAACUCGAUCAAGGUUGCUCAAGCAAUCAUCAAAAGAGGAUCCAUAGACGGAGAAGUCGUCCAUGAAAACCUCACAAAUCUUUUCACAAAAGUCAGAGAAUAUAGCCAUCAUGCAUCUUUCAAAGGUAGCAGGUGCAUUACAUAAACCAAAAGGCAUACGUCUAUAAGCAAAAGUACCAAAAGGGCAAGUAAAAGUAGUCUUUGAUUGAUCAUUGGCUGACACAGGUAUUUGAGAGAAACCAGAAUAACCAUCUAGAAAGCAAAAAUGUGUAUGUUUGGAUAAUCUUUCUAGCAUUUGAUCAAUAAAAGGUAAGGGGUAAUGAUCUUUCUUAGUAGCCUUAUUUAAUUUGCGGAAAUCAAUUACCAUCCUAUAACCUGUAAUAAUUCUUUGCGGAAUCAAUUCAUCUUUAUCAUUAGGGACGACAGUAAUACCUCCCUUCUUAGGGACACAAUGGACAGGACUUACCCACUGACUAUCAGCAACGGGAUAAAUUAUACCUGCCUCAAGAAGCUUUAGUAUUUCUUUUCUUACCACUUCUUUCAUCUUAGGAUUUAGCCGUUGUUGAUGAUCACGAACUGGUUUGGCAUCUUCUUCCAAAUUUAUUUUAUGUUGACAUAGAGUGGGACUAAUGCCCUUAAGAUCAUCAAGAGUAUAUCCAAUAGUAGCACGAUGCUUCUUCAGAGUUUUCAAUAAUCUUUCUUCUUCAUGCUCUGAAAUGUUAGCACUAAUAAUAACAUGAUAUAUCUUCUUUUCAUCAAGAUAAGCAUAUUUAAGAGUAUCAGGCAACGGUUUAAGCUCAAACACGGGAUCACCCUUGGGUGGAGGAGGAUCCCCUAGGAUUUCAAUAGGAAAAUUGUGUUUCAGGAUAGGUUCUUGUUUAAAGAAUACUUCAUCUAUUUCCCUUCUUUCAUUCAUAAACAUACUAUUUUCAUGGUCUAGCAAAUAUUGUUCUAAAGGAUCACUAGGAGGUACGGCAAUAGAACCAAGACCAAUAAUUUCAUCCUUACUAGGUAAUUCCUCUUCAUGGUGUUGUCUACUAAAUUUAGAGAAAUUAAACUCAUGAGACAAAUCACCUAGACCAAUAGUGACAACAUCCUUUUCGCAGUCUAUCCUAGCAUUAACGGUGUUCAAGAAGGGUCUACCAAAUAUAAUGGGACAAAAGCUAUCUUGUGGGGAACCAAGAACAAGAAAAUUAGCAGGAUAUUAGUUUUCCCACACAAGACUUCAACAUCUCUAACAAUUCCAAUGGGUGAUAUUGUAUCUCUAUUAGCAAGUUUGAUGGUAACAUCAAUACCUUCUAUCUCAGCAGGUGCAAUUUCAUGCAUAAUUUCUUUGUAUAAGUCAUGAGGUAUAGCACUAGCACUAGCACCCAUAUCACAUAAGCCAUGAUAACAAUGAUCUCCUAUUUUAACAGAAAUAACAGGCAUGCCUACUACAGGUCUAUGUUUAUCUUUAGCACAAGGUUUGGCAAUUCUAGCAGUUUCACCGCAGAAAUAAAUAACAUGCCCAUCAAUAUUAUCAGCCAAGAGAUCUUUAACAAUAGCAAUAUUAGGUUCAACUUUGAUUUGCUCAGGAGGUGUAUAAGUUCUAAUAUUGCUUUUACAAACCACAGUUGAAGCUUUAGCAUGAUCCUUUAUCCUAACAGGGAAAGGUGGUUUCUCAACAUAAGAAGUAGGAACAAUAGGAUCAUUAUAAGUGAUAGUCUUUUCUUCAACUUUAAUAGGUGCAGCUACUUUUACUUCUAUGGGAGGAUGAUAUUUAAACCACUUCUCCUUGGGGAGAUCAACAUAAGUAGCAAAAGAUUCACAGAAUGAAGCUACUAUCUCAGAGUCAAGUCCAUAUUUAGUGCUAAAUUUACGGAAAACAUCGGUAUCCAUAAAAGAUUUAGCACAAUCAAACUUAGGUGUCAUACCUGACUCCUUACCUUCGUCGAGAUCCCAAUCUUCAGAGUUGCAUUUAAUUCUAUCCAAUAAAUUCCAUUUGAAUUCAAUAGUCUUCAUCAUAAAAGAGCCAGCACAAGAAGUAUCGAGCAUGGUGCGAUUGUUAUCAGAAAGCCGAGCAUAAAAAAUUUGAAUAAUUAUUUCUCUUGAGAGCUCAUGAUUGGGGCAUGAAUAUAACAUUGAUUUAAGCCCCCCCAAGCUUGAGCGAUGCUUUCUCCUUCGCGAGGCCAAAAAUUAUAUAUAUAAUUGCGAUCACGAUGAACAAGAUGCAUAUGAUAAAACUUCUGAUGAAAUUUCAAUUUCAAUCGUUUGUAGUUCCAUGACCCCGUAUCAUCACAUAGCCUAUACCAUGUCGAUGCAUCUCCCUUCAAACAUAAAGGGAAGACCUUCUUCUUAAUAACAUCACCGGGUAUACCUGCAAGCUUAAAUAAUCCACAUAGAUUAGGUGCUCAUCAGGAUGCUUUGUUCCAUCUCCUGCAAAAGGAUUAGCUAGCAGUUUUUUUAACAUACCCGAAGGAAAUUCAAAGGGAACAUUUUCAUUUUCAGUAGGUUCAGUAGGUUGAGGAGCAACUCUUUGCUCUACUGGUCGGGGUGAAGAUACCGCAAACAAGCCCCUCAGAGGAUUACUUUCCAUAGUAACAAGUGACAGUAAAUUUCAGCACACUAUAUAAAUUUUUCCUUACCAAAUUCCACCUACCAAAGGCGCUUCACUCCCCGGCAACGGCGCCAGAAAAGAGUCUUGAUGACCCACAAGUAUAGGGGAUCUAUCGUAAUCCUUUCGAUAAGUAAGAGUGUCGAACCCAACGAGGAGCAGAAGGAAAUGAUAAGCGGUUUUCAGCAAGGUAUUCUCUGCAAGUACUGAAAUAAGUGGUAACAGAUAGUUUUGUGAUAAGAUAAUUUGUAACGAGCAACAAGUAACAAAAGUAAAUAAAGUGCAGCAAGGUGGCCCAAUCCUUUUUGUAGCAAAGGAUAAGCCUGGACAAACUCUUAUAUAGAUAAAAGCGCUCCUGAGGACACAUGGGAAUUAUCGUCAAGCUAGUUUUCAUCACGUUCAUAUGAUUCGCGUUCGGUACUUUGAUAAUUUGAUAUGUGGGUGGACCGGUGCUUGGGUGCUGUUCUUACUUGAACAAGCAUCCCACUUAUGAUUAACCUCUAUUGCAAGCAUCCGCAACUACAACAAAAGUAUUAAGGUAAACCUAACCAUAGCAUGAAACAUAUGGAUCCAAAUCAGCCCCUUACGAAGCAACGCAUAAACUAGGGUUUAAGCUUCUGUCACUCUAGCAACUCAUCAUCUACUUAUUAGUUCCCAAUGCCUUCCUCUAGGCCCAAAUAAUGGUGAAGUGUUAUGUAGUCGACGUUAAAAUAACACCACUAGAGGCUAGACAACAUACAUCUCAUCAAAAUAUCGAGCGAAUACCAAAUUCACAUGACUACUAAUAGCAAGACUUCUCCCGUGUCCUCAGGAACAAACGUAACUACUCACAAAACAUAUUCAUGUUCAUAAUCAGAGGGGUAUUAAUAUGCAUAAAGGAUCUGAACAUAUGAUCUUCCACCAAAUAAACCAACUAGCAUCAACUACAAGGAGUAAUCAACACUACUAGCAACCUACUAGUACCAAUCCCGAACUUGGAGACAAGAAUUGGAUACAAGAGAUGAACUAGGGUUUUAAGAGGAGAUGGUGCUGGUGAAGAUGUUGAUGGAGAUUGCCCUCUCCCGAUGAGAGGAGCGUUGGUGAUGACGAUGGCGAUGAUUUCCCCCUCCCGGAGGGAAGUGUCCCCGGCAGAACAGCUCUGCCGGAGCCCUAGAUUGGUUCCGCCUCGUGGCAGCUGAGUCUCGUCCUGAAAGGUUGCUUAUGAUUUUUUUCUCGACGAAAGACUUCAUAUAGCAGAAGAUGGCCACCGGAGAGCCAACAGGGGGCCCACGAGGCAGGGGGCGCGCCCCCACCCUCGUGGCCAGGUGGGGCCCCCUCUGACGUACUUCUUCCGCUCAAUAUUUUUUAUUAUUUCCAAAAAUGACUUUACUGGAGUUUCAGGACAUUUGGAGUUGUGAAGAAUAGGUCUCUAAUAUUUGCUCCUUUUCCAGCCCAGAAUUCCAGCUGCCGGCAUUCUCCCUCCUUAUGUAAACCUUGUAAAAUAAGAGAGAAUAGGCAUAAGUAUUGUGACAUAACGUGUAAUAACAGCCCAUAAUGGAAUAAAUAUCGGAAUAAAAGCAUGAUGCAAAAUGGACGUAUCAUCGUGCUGACGGAACUCUCCCUCAAAGCUCGGCUGGAUCGGAGUUCGAGGGACGUCAUCGAGCUGAACGUGUGCUGAACUCGGAGGUGCCGUAUGUUCGAUACUCGGAUCGGCCAGAUCGUGAAGACGUACGACUACAUCAACCGCGUUGUGCUAACGCUUCCGCUUUCGGUCUACGAGGGUACGUGGACACACUCUCCCCUCUCGUUGCUAUGCAUCACCAUGAUCCUGUGUGUGCGUAGGAUUUUUUUUGAAAUUACUACGUUCCCCAACAGUGGCAUCCGAGCCUGGUUUUACGCGUAGAUGUUAUAUGCAUGAGUAGAACACAAGUGAGUUGUGGGCGAUACAAGUCAUACUGCUUACCAACAUGUCAUACUUUGGUUCGGCGGUAUUGUUGGAUGAAGCGGCCCAGACCGACAUUACACGUACGCUUACGCGAGACUGGUUCAACCGACGUGCUUUGCACAAAGGUGGCUGGUGGGUGUCAGUUUCUCCAACUUUAGUUGAAUCGAGUGUGGCUACGCCCGGUCCUUGAGAAGGUUAAAACAUCACUAACUUGACGAACUAUCGUUGUGGUUUUGAUGCGUAGGUAAGAAUGGUUCUUGCUCAGCCCGUAGCAGCCACGUAAAACUUGCAACAACAAAGUAGAGGACGUCUAACUUGUUUUUGCAGGGCAUGUUGUGAUGUGAUAUGGUCAAGGCAUGAUGCUAUAUUUUAUUGUAUGAGAUGAUCAUGUUUUGUAACCGAGUUAUCGGCAACUGGCAGGAGCCAUAUGGUUGUCGCUUUAUUGUAUGCAAUGCAAUCGCCCUGUAAUGCUUUACUUUAUCACUAAGCGGUAGCGAUAGUCGUAGAAGCAAUAGUUGGCGAGACGACAACGAUGCUACGAUGGAGAUCAAGGUGUAGCGCCGGUGACGAUGGUGAUCAUGACGGUGCUUCGGAGAUGGAGAUCACAAGCACAAGAUGAUGAUGGCAAUAUCAUGUCACUUAUAUUGAUUGCAUGUGAUGUUUAUCCUUUAUGCAUCUUAUUUUGCCUUGAUUGAUGGUAGCAUUAUAAGAUGAUCUCUCACUAAAUUUCAAGAUAAAAGUGUUCUGCCUGAGUAUGCACCGUUGCCAAAGUUCGUCGUGCCGAGACACCACGUGAUGGUCGGGUGUGAUAAUCUCUACGUUCAUCUACAACGGGUGCAAGCCAGUUUUGCACACGCAGAAUACUCGGGUUAAACUUGACGAGCCUAGCAUAUGCAGAUAUGGCCUCGGAACACUGAGACCGAAAGGUCGAGCGUGAAUCAUAUAGUAGAUAUGAUCAACAUAGUGAUGUUCACCAUUAAAAACUACUCUAUCUCACGUGAUGAUCGGACAUGGUUUAGUUGAUUUGGAUCACGUGAUCACUUAGAUGAUUAGAGGGAUGUCUAUCUAAGUGGGAGUUCUUAAGUAAUAUGAUUAAUUGAACUUUAAUUUAUCAUGAACUUAGUCCUGGUAGUAUUAGCAUAUCUAUGAUGUAGAUCAAUAUCUCAUGUUUAGCUCCCCUGUUUUAUUUUUGAUAUGUUCCUAGAGAAAAAUAAGUUGAAAGAUGUUAGUAGCAAUGAUACGGAUUGGAUCCGUGAUCUGAGGAUUAUCCUCAUUGUUGCACAGAAGAAUUAUGUCCUUGAUGCACCACUAGGUGACAGACCGAUUGCAGGAGCAACUGCAGAUGUUAUGAACGUUUGGCAAGCUCGAUAUGAUGACUACUUGAUAGUUUAGUGCACCAUGCUUUACGGCUUAGAAUUGGGGCUUCAAAGACGUUUUUUGAAAUGCCAUGGAGCAUAUGAGAUGUUCCAGGAGUUGAAAUUAGUAUUUCAUACUCAUGCCCGUGUCGAGAGGUAUGAGACCUCUGACAGUACUUUGCCUACAAGAUGGAGGAGAAUUGCUCAGCUAGUGAGCAUGUGCUCAGAAUGUCUGAGUACUACAAUCACUUGAAUCAAGUGGGAGUUAAUAUUCUAGAUAAGAUAGUGAUUGGCAGAGUUCUCUAGUCACUAUCACCAAGUUACUAGAACUUCGUGAUGAACUAUAAUAUGCAAGGGAUAACGAAAACAAUUCCCAAGCUCUUCGUGAUGCUGAAAUCGACGAAGGUAGAAAUCAAGAAAAACAUCAAGUGUUGAUGGUUGACAAGACCACUAGUUUCAAGAAAAGGGCAAAGGGAAGAAGGGGAACUUCAAGAAGAACGGUGAUACGUCUCCAACAUAUCUAUAAUUUUUUAUUGUUCCAUGCUAUAUUAUAUUCUACUUUGGACAUUAUUGGGCUUUAUUAUACACUUUUAUAUUAUUUUUGGGACUAACCUAUUAACCGGAGGCCCAGCCCAGAAUUGCCUUUUUUGCCUAUUUCAGAGUUUCGCAGAAAAAGAAUAUCAAACAAAGUCCAAACGGAAUGAAACCUUCGGGAAUGUGAUUUUCGGAACGAACGUGAUCCAGAGGACUUGGACCCUACGUCAAGAAAGCUACCAGAAGGGCACGAGGUAGGGGGGCACGCCUACCCCCCUGGGCGUGCCCUCCACCCUCGUGGGCCCCACGUUGCUCCACCGACGUACUUCUUCCUCCUAUAUAUACCUACGUACCCCCAAACUACCAGAUACGGAGCCAAAAACCUAAUUCUACCGCCGCAACCCUCUGUACCCGUGAGAUCCCAUCUUGGGGCCUUUUCCGGAGCUCCGCCGGAGGGGGCAUCGGUCACGGAGGGCUUCUACAUCAACACCAUAGCCUCUCCGAUGAUGUGUGAGUAGUUUACCUCAGACCUUCGGGUCCAAGGUUAUUAGCUAGAUGGCUUCUUCUCUCUUUUUGGAUCUCAGUACAAUGUUCUCCCCCUCUCUUGUGGAGAUCUAUUCGAUGUAAUCUUCUUUUGCGGUGUGUUUGUUGAGACCGAUGAAUUGUGGGUUUAUGAUCAAGUUUAUCUAUGAACAAUAUUUGAAUCUUCUCUGAAUUCUUUUAUGUAUGAUUGGUUAUCUUUGCAAGUCUCUUCGAAUUAUCAGUUUGGUUUGGCCUACUAGAUUGAUCUUUCUUGCAAUGGGAGAAGUGCUUAGCUUUGGGUUCAAUCUAUCGGUGUCCUUUCCCAGUGACAGUAGGGGCAGCAAGGCACGUAUUGUAUUGUUGCCAUUGAGGAUAACAAGAUGGGGUUUAUAUCAUAUUGCAUGAGUUUAUCCCUCUACAUCAUGUCAUCUUGCUUAAAGCGUUACUCUGUUCUUAUGAACUUAAUACUCUAGAUGCAUGCUGAAUAGCUGUCGAUGUCUGGAGUAAUAGUAGUAGAUCCAGGCAGGAGUCGGUCUACUUGUCUCGGACGUGAUGCCUAUAUACAUGAUCAUACCUAGAUAUUCUCAUAACUAUGCUCAAUUCUGUCAAUUGCUCUACAGUAAUUUGUUCACCCACCGUAAUACUUAUGCUCAUGAGAGAAGCCACUAGUGAAACCUAUGGCUAUGGAAAAACCUGCCGGAGUUGUCAAGGAGAGUCUUAAUAAUUUUGAUAAAGAUGAUUCCGGAAUUUUUCGUUAUUUACUCGAUGAAUCUUUGAAAGAUUCUUGGGAUAGGCUGUUAAAGAUCCGGGCUAGCUAUGUACCCCAAUAUCAAAUAGAGGUUUACCUAAAAAGCUUUUAUGUUGGGUUGCCCGCUUCGUUCAAACAAGUUUUAGAUUCUAUUUUUGAAGAGGGUUUUCUUGAAGGGGACCCCAUAGAUACCUAUGAAAAGAUGAAAACUAUAUUUGGGCACCCCAUUAAUGAGAAAGUUGAAACCACAUCUAUUUUGCUCUCUUACCAAAACGAAUCUAUCAAAGCAAUAAAAGCUAGCCAAGAUGCCAAUUUCCGCAACAUACUUAAUCUUUCUUCUACCAUUAAUAGCCACGUGCUUUAUCAAAAUAGAAAGAUUAAUUCCAUAGAUAACAAGUUUGCUCUUUUCUUCCCUAAAACCAAAGAUGGCAAUACCUAGAUCUAUCCUUGCUUUUAUGCCUAGCUAGGGGCGUUAAACGAUAGCGCUUGUUGGGAGGCAACCCAAUUUUAUUUUUAGUUUUUUUGCUUUUUGCUUCUGUUUAGGAAUAAAUAUUUAAUCUAGGCUCUGGUUAGAUGUGGUUUUAUGUUUAAAUUAGUGUUUGUGCCAAGUUAAACCUAUAGGAUCUUCUUGGAUGAUAGUUAUUUGAUCUUGCUGAAAAUUGCAGAAACUUUCUGUUCAUGAAAAUAAUUGUUAAAAAUCACCAGAACUUUAUAAAAUAUUGAUUCCAAUUGCUUCUGAUCAAUAAACAAAUUGUCUAGGUCGUCCUAUUUUGGCUGAAUUUUUGGAGUUCCAGAAGUUUGCGUUAGUUACAGAUUACUACAGACUGUUCUGUUUUUGACAGAUUCUGUUUUUCAUGUGUUGUUUGCUUAUUUUGAUGAAUCUAUGGCUAAUAAAAUAGUUUAUAAACCAUAGAGAAGUUGGAAUACAGUAGGUUUAACACCAAUAUAAAUAAAGAAUGAGUUCAUUACAGUACCUUCAAGUGGUGUUUUGUUUUCUUUCGCUAACGGAGCUCACGAGAUUUUCUGUUAAGUUUUGUGUUGAGAAGUUUUCAAGUUUUGGGUGAAAGAUUUGAUGGAUUAUGGAACAAGGAGUGGCGAGGGCCUAAGCUUGGGGAUGCCCAUGGCACCCCAAGAUAAUAUAAGGACACCAAAAAGCCAAAGCUUGGGGAUGCCCCGGAAGGCAUCCCCUCUUUCGUCUACUUCCAUCGGUAAUUUACUUGGAGCUAUAUUUUUAUUCACCACAUGAUAUGUGUUUUGCUUGGAGCGUCUUGUAUGAUUUGAGUCUUUGCUUUUUAGUUUACCACAAUCAUAUUUGCUGUACACACCUUUUGAGAGAGUCACACAUAAAUUGGAAAUUUUUAGAAUACUCUAUGUACUUCACUUAUAUCUUUUGAGUUAUAUAGUUUUUGCUCUAGUGCUUCACUUAUAUCUUUUAGAGCACGGUGGUGGAUUUGUUUUAUAGAAACUAUUGUUCUCUCAUGCUUCACUUAGAUUAUUUUGAGAGUCCUACAAAAUAGCAUGGUAGUUUGCUUCAACAAUGAUAGGCAUUCAAGAUUAGUUAAAAAUAUUCUUAUGAGUGUGUUGAAUAUUAUGAGAAGUUUGAUACUAGAUAAUUGUUUUGAGAAAUGAAGAUGGUGAUAUUAGAGUCAUGCUAGUUGAGUAGUUUUGGAUUUGAGAAAUACUUGUGUUAAAGUUUGUGAUUCCCGUAGCAUGCACGUAUGGUGAACCGUUAUGUGAUGAAGACGGAGCAUGAUUUAUUUAUUGAUUGUCUUCCUUAUGAGUGGCGGUCGGGGAUGAGCGAUGGUCUUUUUCUACCAAUCUAUCCCCCUAGGAUCAUGCGCGUAAUACUUUGCUUUGAUUACUUGUAGAUUUUUGCAAUAAGUAUAUGAGUUCUUUAUGACUAAUGUUGAGUCCAUGGACUAUACGCACUUUUCCUCCUUCCACCAUUGCUAGCCUCUCUAAUACCGCGCACUUUUCGCCGGUAUCAUACACCCACCAUAUACCUUCUUCAAAACAGCCACCAUAUCUACCUAUCAUGGCAUUCCCAUAGCCAUUCCGAGAUAUAUUUCCAUGCGACUUACCACCGUUUCGUUUAUUAUGACACGCUCCAUCAUUUUCAUAUUGCUUCGCAUGAUCAUGUAGUUGACAUCGUACUUGUGGCAAAGCCACCGUUCAUAAUUCUUCCAUACAUGUCACUCUUGAUUCAUUGCAUAUCCCGGUACACCGCCGGAGGCAUUCACAUAGAGUCAUAUUUUGUUCUAAGUAUUGAGUUGUAAUUGUUGAGUUGUAAGUAAAUAAAAGUGUGAUGAUCAUCAUUUUUAGAGCAUUGUCCCAAGUGAGGAAAGGAUGAUGGAGACUAUGAUUCCCCCACAAGUCGGGAUGAGACUCCGGACGAAAAAAAAA